This 57253-nucleotide long non-coding RNA is filed under the name Physcomitrium patens. Its description in RNAcentral is "long non-coding RNA (PPAT_LNC006661)". The stretch from base 15531 to 15576 matches the Rfam family "Histone 3' UTR stem-loop". Lineage: Eukaryota; Viridiplantae; Streptophyta; Bryopsida; Funariales; Funariaceae. The record is from RNAcentral.
GAGGCCAUGUGGAAAGAAGAUAAAGAAUUAAUUGAAUAUUAAAAUUUCAGUAUUAAAAAAUUGAAGCUGAUAUAAUGCGAUUUUUUGAAGUUUUUCAUUUGAUUAUUAGUUUGAGGUGGCGCAUGCCUAGAAACAGCUAGAAGAUAACUAAUGUUGAACACCAUCUAUGACAUAAAAAACAUAUGAAUCAUAUAAAAGCUUUGAUGAGAUAUUCAUCAUAAUUAGGAGAUGCUGACAUUUUAAAGUGGGAAAGUGCUCAAAAUCCCGACAACGUAAUACACCAUAAGAAUAGAAAAGAAUUGUGACUAGAAUCACAUCAAUGAUCAUUGAAGUGAACACCAAUGUAUGAAAAGUAUCACAAAUACUGUUGGAUAUGUUUCAGGAUGCACAAGUUUGACAUCCAAACAAGUAAAUAAAUAAACAUAUCAGGAUUUCAACAUUCUGAAAUGCACCAUCAGCAUAUCGAAAACUCCCACAAGUUCAGUUCGCACAGCCAUUCAAAGUUUAGAACAAAAACAAAAUGAAUAACCAAACAAACAAAACGAAAUAAAUCGAGCCAUCCACUGCAAUUCGGUCCAUCGAGGACCCUGAAGGUGAACUCCUUCUCGUUUGAUGAGCAAAUUCCGUCACCAAGUCGUGGUGAUGGGGUUUCAAGGGAGGCAACGAGGUCUCUCCUCCAUCGCUGCACAAAUCAACACAUCCGCAUUUCAAAACUGAGCAGAGCCAUGCAUCGCCACCCCUUCAAGAAGCACUGUUCCAAACCCUGCUAAGCUGAGUGUUGUAAAGGAGCGAAGAUGGGAACUUGGGGGGUGGGGGUGGAAGUUGGGAAUCCAGGGUGAGACUGGAGUGAUGCCUUGGAUUACAGAUAACAAUGCUCUAAUUUAUCUUUUUCCAGAAACAAGUUCUCACAAAAGUACGACGUCGGAGUGUCGCAAUGGUGGCCAGAGCAAGCGAUGGUGGGGACAGUAACACACAUGUCGAGGCACUCGACCCCACCGAACUAUCCCAGAACCAUCUCUCAAUCCACCCACCCCACCUUGUCCUCCGGGUCCCAUCUCCCCUCUUCGUACCGAUUUUCAAACGACCACCUCUAGCAACUCCCUUCCACCCCCCUUCCACCCCCUGCUUGAUCAACUUCUGAGGAACUUCUAUAAUAAUAAUAAUUAUUGUUGAAUUCUUGCAUUUAUUUCCCCCGUGCUCCCUCUCCGUCCCGAUCCACACAUGGAACUCAUGCCUGACUACCAUCUGUGACGAUCCUUCCAGCCUCCCAUCCAGUGAUUGCUUUUACCGGGUAAAUCUCGUAAAACAAUUCCUCAAAACUUGUGAGUCUGCUACACAGUCGAAGGGUAAGCAUUGGGAACUCAUUCCAACUGAAAUCAUUAGCCUGAAACUAAAUCAUCUCAUGCUGGGAGUAUGUUGCCACUGUUUGACCGGUGAAAGCCUUGGAUACUAUUAAUGUAUCACUUUCGUAUUACUAACGUUGCACGGUGGAAUCCCGAGCAUUGAUUGCAUGGUAUCUCUGGGCAUCGGAUGCUGUAAGCUGCAUAAAGUGUUUCUUGUCGUUACCCUACCUCCUUGCAACCGCAGUGGGCUCGCCAGACCUGACGAGACGCGUUUUUCAUGGAGAAGCAUUGCUCAAAUCAAACAAACACGACCACGUUACCAGGACUCCACCACCUUCCACCCUCCACUAAGUUUUCUGAUACUGCACUUGCAGUGCCUUCCCACCCUUGUGCACCCACCCAGCUUCGUAUUAAAAUGGCGAAUGCACUCUUGCUUGUCAACUACACACCGUUCCCAGAGUACCAUUGCCCACGCAGGUUCAUCGUCGACUUCGCACUUUGGCUACACUAGGCUUUGUUUGUGGGACGUCGUUGCUUCUACACAGUAGAACCAUUUGGAACUCCAGUAGCCGGUUAGAAGAUGGCUAUGGAGAGGAACUCCAGGAAAUCGGAUCAGGAUCGUGCCACUGUGAGUAAUUUGUAGGAGAACGAGUUUCAGCCGUUCCUGUUAUGGCGUGUAAUUAGUCACAUGGAUGUUGUGGAUUUUGGGAAGAUUGAAGAGAGGCAGGUGCCAGUUCUGAGCCAGUCAUUUCUUCUUGUUGCAACAGGGGAAUUCUUGUGCCAAGCCAAGGCGGCUAUCAAGGAACGCAUGGUUGCCAAGAGCAAGGGUGCAGUAUGGAAGCCAGUCCCAAAGAGAGGCGAUGUGAGUGUGAUCAUCACUUUUUUGAACCUCAAAACCUUUCAUCAAAUUGGCGAAUUUGUAUACAUUUCACCUGCAUUGAUAUGUCUGUAGCGGAGUCAUGCUGAAUUGUGUCAUUGUUGGACUUGAAAAGGUGAUGAAAAGGAUCCCCAUCGAUUUCAAAUAUACGAUGAAUGGAUGAGUUCCAACGUCGGAGACUUCACGCGUUGCUCCUGAUGGGAGUCAUGCUCCCUGUGAGGAGGAUGGCUAGACAUAAUUAAGGUCUUGGGGCCAGGAAUCUGUUCCCUGGAUUCACCUACCCCUGAAGCUUUGUGCAGUAUUUCAAGUGAAUCGGAUGCAAUGCUUUUAUGUAGUGACUUCAUAUGGAUAAUUCAAGUGGCAAACUUCUCUAGAAGGACGCAUCAAAAUUUCCUAUGCUGCACAAGAUGUGUCUUGCUCAGUUGAAGGAGAAUGUAUGCAUGUAUGGCUGUGUUCAGUUCUUUUCAAUUACACCCAGACAUGCCCGGUUCAGUCUUGUGUCCUUGGAUUGUGUUGGUGGUUCAUGUCAUCAACUCAGUGCGUAUUGCGAUACACUGCUGACGAGGACUUAUCCUGGAUCACUUGGUUAUUACAUUGCACACUCCGCCCCAGAGUACUAAAUUAGGUUGCACACAUGAUACAACAUGUUCAGUCCAAGACAAAAGACUUGGCAGUUUGGUGUUCUUAAUAGUGUGACUAACCCAAAAGGAAUCAAAGGGCUCCACUGGGUUGUAGGACUUCAAGGUGUAACUGUGAGGUGGUAAAAGAAAUAUAAAUCACACAACUCUUCACGCAAGGUUAACAACAAGAUUAUGAGUUGUGCAGACCAUGCAAAGAUUUCAUAAAUCGUGCAUCUUUCAGAACGAAAGAUCAAGGUUUCAAUAAAGCCAUGCUGAGGAUAUCAAAAGGCCAGAUCCGUUAAGUUCCAUACAACUUGAGUUUCGAAGUUCACCACAUAGCUGGUCAGAAAUGUGAAUCGACUGUCUUACGCCUGCAAAGGUUGGAUAGCAGUUAAACUCAAUCAUCAUCAAUGUGAAGGACUGGGACGCUCGUCUGCUAACUGAAUGUUUCUUCUGUUCCAAUGCAAGCUUUCUCGCACGCUACGAAGAAAAUCACCACUCGAUUCUUUUUCACACACGGCAGGAACAGGCCAUUCCGACAUACGCACAAUCAAGGCAUCGCCUCCCCAAAGCUGUUGUCGCCCCUUACCAUCGAAACUGGCCCAUGCCUGACCCCUGCAGUUCAAGGGUAACUGCCCCACAAAAAAAAUACAAGACCAUGUUGUCCUCGUCAAUACAUUUAUCCAACUUGUUGGUGCGAUGUAAACAGUUGUCAUUGGAGGAAAACGAAUUAAUAACCAGCCAGUAUUUGGAACCUUGAGUGAGCAACCUGUACCUGAACACGCAAUGUUACAUAAUCUGGCAAAAUCAGUGGCCUGAAUGACAAAGAAUGUGGACAAAUUGGUGUGAAAAGAAUGCCUGGCACCUGCACCGAGACACACACUCAUUAGAAGUCUUUCAAACCCUCGCGAUGGAAUACAUAUUCAGAUUAUGCUUUUCCCUUCCACAUCAGGAGAAACGGGGUUCCUUAGGAUUCGAUCUUGAGAUCAUACUGCAGACGUUCAAGUAUAGAAAAACCCGAAUUAGUCGUUUUAGCUUUUACAAAAAAAAUAAAUAAUAAAUAAAUAAAUAAAGAGGUCUUAUGACAGUAGUGAGCAGCAUGGCACAUAAUAGAUUCAAAUUUAGGAGCGAAGCUCAUAGUAAAAUACCUGUGGAUGGACAACUGAACCUCCGGCAGCCAAAGAAUAUGCUGUACUUCCUGAUGGACUUGAUAUGAUUAAACCAUCACCUUGCACAAUGGUAACAAAGUGCCCAUCACAAAAGCACUCCAAAUUUGAAAGAGCUGAUGACAUGCCUCUAUCAAUAGAAACCUCAUUGAGGACAAGAUAUUCGGCAGAUUCCGAGCUGGUGUUGUCAUCUGUCUCACGAUCGUGCCGGAUGAUCUGACAAUGAAGUCGAUGUCGCAAAGUGAUAUAUGCCGGACCUUUCAUUAUUGCUUGUAAACUUUCUCUGUACAUACUGCUUUCUGUGGAGUAAACAAUUAAGGAUUUCACUGCACCUAACAAAUUCGGCCCUUACAGAAAAUCGGAAUUUUCUGUGGAUUUCAUAAGAACAUCCAUUAGAAGAAAGAAUUAUCACUAGCCAGGAAACAAGUAUUCCUCAAGCGUUUCCUGAACAGAAAAAGAGAUUUUUUUUUAAUCUACAGCAAAGAGUGGAUACGGAAUUUCGUCAUGAAGCCUAGAGAGCCCAUGGAGAAGGCCACCAGUGGAGGCAUAGGACCUUUGAACAGUGACGCAGCCUACAGCAUCACAACCCAACGUGAUUAGUACAUACAUCCAGCAUCCUUAGACUAUCCACACAGGUGUCUGUCAUACACUAUCAAAGGAUGUGAUAUACUUUCCCGCCGCACUCACCAAUCCUUUACACUUAUCACAUGGACUUCCACCACGUAAACCCAGCAGCAUUUAUAAGCUUCUGUAAUAUGGUCAGCACCUCAAUUAAGUAAAUGACGGAUUCCAACCAAAUCAAACAUGUAACCAUCCAGGCAAAAACAAGACCUGUAAUGCACUUGAAUAUCCCGUCUCAAUCUGACCAAGAAAGAACAAAGAAAGGAUAAUUUUACCCAAAGCAUUGUUCCAUCACCACCCAAGGUGAUGACUAGAUCCACGCUCUUGUUGAUUGUCACCAGUUGUUUCUCUGUAGCAACAAGUUCACGUACAUGAUUUACACUUUAAUCAGUUGGGGAAAUUUUAUUCUACUUAUCUCGAAGGUUGAAUACCUAAAGUUGCUUACAUGCCAUCAAGGUCUACGAUUGGCCGUAGAAAGAGAGACUGUGCCAAGACGUAAAAUUCUAACGUGAAUUUCCUAAAUGCAAAACCGGGAUGACACUGUAAAUGAGCCCUCUCGGGUCUAGGGUAUUGAAACUAUGCGUGGUUCACCCUCAAGUACUGAUGAAACAUGAGAAUCACCGUUAUUGAAACAAGCAUCUUCAAACAUAUCCUCAAAAGAAGUACCUGUCUCACAUGUCUGAAUAAACUCAAAAUCGGCAUUCUCCUCCAUCAGUUCUGCCUUCACUCUUGGCUCCACGUAGAUUUUUGUAACAUUUUGUUCUCUGAGCCACCUGCAGAUCAAAGAUGACAUGCUCACUACAGAGCCACCAACAUAAAAGCAUUCGAAGUGCACUACUCGACUCGUUGAAGAAACCAUCUGCACAUGCACAUUCUCUGCAUGAUGUCACACUGCAAAUUGAUGACGAUCCAGAUGAUUCUCUGUCCUAUCCCGCAGCAAUGCUGCAAACACCACCAGAAUUUAAAUUCACUCACCACACCAUCUCUUCGCAAAGCUGCUGCACGGCUGCUGCGUUCGGCUUCAAAAGGAUGAACACUGAUGCGGGUGAAGAAUUCCAGACCAAAGCAAUCUAUCCACACGUUACAUCAAGGCUUAUGUGAGACUGAAGGAUGCUGUCCAAAUUAUAGAUCCAGCUAAAUCGUAGGAAACCAGUGUUCGGUCAAACCAAGGCCAAUGGCAUGAGCAUCAUCUCGAUCAUAUAUAUAUAUAUAUAUGAAGAGAGAGGGAGCGAGAGAGAGCGAGAGGGAGACUUCAUUGCGCCACCAUCAGAAAUGAAAAUACCUGUUUAUUGCUUCGGACUUCUGCAUUGAUGUCACCAUCAUCAAACGACACUAAAUCAUGGUUUUGUUCUUUUCUUCUCUCAUCAACAGGAUCCAAUGUGAGUGUAAAUGAUGCCUGAACCACAAAAAUAACCAUCUCCGUAAGUCCUUGAAAAUUAAUUUAGCAAAAUAGUAGAACACAAACUUCGAAUUGGUAGCAACUAAUGAUCAGACAAUAUGGCACUCACAUGUUGAACUGAUCAUAAACCAGACCCAACAAGAUAUUGGAUUGAAGUCGAUUCAGAUUGUUGAGGAGCAUGUCAGGCAAUUCGCUCGUGUACCAAGCACUCACAAUAUCUCAAGACAAGUGGCAAUUUCUUACUUCACCUUCUCAGAAAUUUUACUGUCCAGCUGUGUAUCCAAGUAUAAGUUGUUGAAAAGAUCAGGACUAUAGCUCAACACUUUCGAGUUUUGAAUGGUUUCUUUAUAUUGAAGAUAACCGUUUGACCGAGUUUGUGUAUUCUGUGGUGAUGAUCUAAACUCGGUAGCAUCAAUAUCGCCCUCAGAUAUGACGGAUGUGACUGAAAGAUUAUCCUGCCGUGAAGAGUCUGGAAAAACAUCUUUUAAAAGUGAGCUGUGUAAUCAAUGCACCAAUAGCCCUAUCAUGCGCGUGCACACACACACACACACACACACACACACACACGAUAAAAAUAAUAAAAAUAAAAAGAUUUGAUAGUGAUAGAAGAGAACAAAGCCAAGAAGGACGCACGGUCGAUCGAAACCUUGUAUUGAAAACUGUAGAGCCCUACCAAAUACAAAAGUGCGAAAGAAACAGUAUUCAAGGCAAUGAGACCGAUUACCGAGAGCUCUUGAUGCAAUACUACGCUCGAGUUGGGAAUUUCGAAGGAGCUCUAGUUCAUACUUAUGCUUCCAUUGUGCAGCCUCAUCUUGAGCUAGAGCCUUUUUCACAGCCACAUCCUCCAGGGCCUUUGCAACAGCUGUUGGCAUGUUGUGAAGAGUACAGUUGGAGACCAUCCAAUGUAAGUGCACGGAAAUAGCGUGAAAAAAAUUCCUUCAUCAAAGUAAGUGAGCAUAACAAGUGAACACCAGUUUUAAAGAGUACACAAGCAUUCAUGCGUGUCACCAGAGGAACAUAAACGUCCGAGAAGCUCGUGACCGUAACAAGACAGACUCUCAUCUCGCAGCAUCUGCAUAAGAGUUGCGAAAAGAGUUCAUCUAUAAAGAAUCACAAUUGAAGACGUACUCUGCAGAGCAUCUGAAAAUUCACUCAAAUGAUUCUUUUCAUCUCGGUUCGUAAUCAUGGCACCGACACCAUCAGAAUCAAGCCUUUGUGAUCGAAUGGCCAAGUUUUCAAUCUUCCCAUGCUCUAGCCGAUUCGGCGAGCUUGUGAGACCGAUUAGAAUCUGCGCCACCUCCAUGUUGUUGGACGAUCAAAUACGGAUAUUUGAGUAACUUACAUGUAUCUGGAUUAUUUGAACACUCAAUUACAGUUUCAGAACAAACAUUCAUGGAGCUCAACACAUAAAAUAAUAAAAUUAGGAGAACAAGACUCACUUUCCUCGGAAGCUUGAGGGAGUGCCGUCGUGUAAAGUGACGAGGUAAUCCGACAAGGUCACGCGGAAAAGAUUCACGAGCUACAGGUGUUCUCCACGCUACACAUGCUCCCUGGUCCCUCCCAGCACCCAGCUCUCCUUUGGUCAGUUGGUAAAACAUUCCAGUCAUAAUUUCGAUUGUGUUGACGCCCGUUGGUUGAUUAGCAAAGGGUUUAGUAUCUAGGAUUCACCCGUCCACUCUCCCAUCAGCAGUGAAUAAAGUAUGCUCUGUAGGGGAAUGGUGUAGGGCGUGAAACACGGCCAGUUGUGUUCGAAAACUACCGUUUUCUUUCAAGUUCAAGAGCAUGGAAAGUAGAGACGCACAUUCCAAGACGUGGAGGGUCGAAAGUCUGAGGAAAAAACCAAGAACCAGACUAAUUCGUAGGUUUCAGCAAAUAGAACAACAAGGCAGAAAUCAGGACGAGUCAUGAGAGAAAUAACCUGCGUUAGCACAUCCAUCGUGUGGGCGAAAAGAAAGCCGCCUCAACAACAAUAGCAAUGACAAGUAUCUUCAAUCCCUGCGCCACGGGCUUCUCAUCCUGUCUCCAUUUCCAUGACUGCCUCUCUACAUUUAAACUUUAGCAUCUACCAACACCAUCCAUCAGGGUCACUGAUGAAGAUCAGCACUAGGAUGCGUACUUUAUUUCCGAAUUACGUGUAAGCUAAUUGAUAACAGCUUGAAUUGAGCCCCAAUCACGGCCCGUUUGCAUAAAAUCCACAAUAAGAACUAUCAAGGAUGGUCUCCAGUACACACCCGAAAACUUCCACAAAACGGAUUACAAAGAAACCGUACCGGAAACCUAGAGAUCCCAAAGGAAAAACACUGAUGGAAAUGAUACGAUGUACUCAAUCGGCAGUCCUGCACUCCAUCAACCCUAUUUCAAGCAGUCGAUAGACAAAGCCAAUGCACUCACAAGAAAGCUCACUUUGUAGAACCCACAGCGGACUCAAACGAGGACAGGACCGUGAGAAGGCAGCGGAAAGGACGCGACGAAGGGGGGAAUAGGCAAAUAAGUUGACGGAUGAGAAGCGCUAGAACGCGAAUAGUUAAGCAAGGCGAAAACAGUGUGGCUCCACCCCCAAGUUAGCAAAACUGAUCGAAUUUCUGUCUGCGGCACACCUGCACGAGCCCUCUCUCUCAAAGCCCUCUCCCAGUCGCACGACGACGAACGAACGAACAAACGGACGGACGGAAGUAUGGACAGACGCAUUCAUUGUCCCGUAUCAGACGAACGAACGAUUGAAUAAAUGAACGAACGAACAAAUCGAUUGUUCCCGAAAGGACGCAACUCGAGCAGCAGGUGAGGCUGCACAGCUGUGGGUAAUGGACGACGGGCUGCUGCCCAGAAUAAAAAAAAAGGUACUAAAGGUCUCGCAUAACUCCUCCUCCUUCGCCUUCCCUCCCUAACCCCAUCCCAGCAUGCCAAGUGGCAUUCAGAUGCAACCUUCUUCUGGAUGUCGUUCUAAAGAAUCUUUCGUUGAAUUUUUUCAUCACACACACAUAUAUAUACCUCGAGUAAUAAACAUCUACUUAUUCAUUUUUCUCUUACUGCAACUUUUGUAACUUUUAUCACAAUACAAUAAAAGUGAUAUAUACAUGUAUUGUUUUGGAAUAGAAAAUAAAUAAUUUCAUAUUGAAAUUUCAAAUUUUCAGAAACUUAUUAUUUUAUUAUCACAGUAUGAUUAUUAUAAAAUGGUAAAAUAAUAAUAAUAUUUUAAAAAAAUUCUAAAUAUUAUUUAUGUAUCCAUUUAAAACAUCCUUCUAUUAUAUAUUUCAAAAUUUGAAGUUUUGUGGUGAGUUUGAUAUAUAACUUAUUUUAAAAAUUUGCAUAUUUUAUGUUUAUUUUUAACAUCUUUUUUGAAAUAUGUGUGUGCUAUAAUUUAGUCAUUCACUUCUUAUUUUAUUUUUAUAAUUUUUUUCUUUUCAUUUUUAUUUAAUAAUUUUAGAUAAGUAUAAAUCAUGUUAUUUUUUCUCAUUUUUCAUACAAAACAUAAUCUUUAAUAUAUAGUGUGAGUGUAAAAUUCACUCCUUAAUCCAAUUACAAAGUGGCCUCAAUUAAGAGUUGCUUGUAAUUGGUGGUGUGAAGUAGAAGAAGCAAGAACUAAAACAAAAGAAGCAAAACACAAAAACAAGUAAAACAAGUGUAAUCAAGCAAUUGUAUACCACAAAAGUAGUCACAGUCUGUUUAUUGAAUUUUCACCAAAUAAAAAGUAAAAAAUAAAAGUAAAAAAUAUAUUUUUUGAAAGGUAAUUUUUUAAUCUUUUCAAUGGUAUAAGAAACAUGUAAAUCCGAGUUACUAUUUUUUAAACCUUCAUAACUCGGAUCUAAAUAAAUUCUAAAUAAAAUCUAAAUAAAUUCUAAAUAAAUUCUAAAAAUUAUUAUAAUGGUUUUAUAAUAUUAAUAUUGAUUUAAAUCUAUAAUUUUCUAUCUUGAUGAUUUUUAUAAUAAUAAAAUCAAUUUAAAUCUAUUAUAAAUCAUAUUUUUUUAUAUAAUUAACUAAAAAGACAUGAGGUUCUUUCUCAUGCUUCUUCUAACUACUAAUUAAAAUUUAUAGUUUCUUUUAUAAGUAAUAUGUAUAGAUAGAAGGCUAAUAUAAAUAUUGACUUUAGUAAAUAUCCCUCAAUACUCAAUACUAAGUAAAUAAUACUAAAUCAACUAAGUUAAUUGCCUCCAAGACUCACUAAAACUCGAAUUCUACAACUAACACUCUAAUUUUCUAUUUGUCUAAAUAUUUCUAUACUAUUCACCAUAUAUUGUGGUUCUAAGCACUAUAAAUGCAUCUUUUUAUUCUAAAAUAAUUAGUGAAUCGAUUUGAUGACUCAUAUGUAGAAAUACAUAUAUAUAUAUAUAUAUAUAUAUAUAUAUAUGGAUAGAUAGAUAGAUAGAUAGAUAGAUAGAUGUUUCUGUAAAGUUAAAGAUUAUUAUGAAUAGUCUUUUUUUGUUGAUAUUAUAGUAAAUAAAAUUUUGUAAUUAUAUUUUCUUACAAAUAUAAUUAGAUUUCUUAUUAUUUUCCAUAUUCUCUAAUAGUCUAUUUUCUAUCAUUUAUGAUUUUUUUAGUUUUAUUACGAUUAUUUUUUAUAUUUUAAAUAUUAUAUUAAUUAUUUUUAUGGUUAUGAAAAUGAAUCUUUAUCUUUUAUUUUGAAAAUUACUUUUAAAUUUUUUUACUACUUAAAAUAUAAUAUUUAUUACCUUUUUGUUUAUUUAUUUGGAUUUUAUAUUUUUGCAUUACCUUUCUAAAAAAAUAAAUGUAUUAUUUUUUUUACUUAUUUAUUUAUUUUUAAGAUAUCUUAUUUUUAAAACAUUUGCAUAAUUAUAUUUGGUUUAAAAGUUAUACUUUUGAAAAGUAUAAAUGAAGAUGAAAGAAUCAUAAUUGAUCAAAAUUAUUCUUUUGGUCUUAUAAAUUAUAAAGACUUUAUCUUUCAUUAAAAAGAAAAGACAUGAUAAAAAAUAUUUAAUUUUUUUAAUAUAUAUUUUUGGAAUAUUUAUACUAAAUUUUAUUUUGUAUCAUAGAUUUUAAAAUAUUUUAGGUGAAUUAAAGAUUUGCAAUACAUAUCCUAUCAAAAAUUGUAUCUAAAGGAAAUUAAAUAUAAAUUAUAAUAAAAUAAAAUAAUAAUUUUGAUUUGAACAUAAUAUAUUUAUAUAUUUAUAUAUUUUUUUUAUAGUUUUUGUAGUUUUUUAACCUAUUAUCUUAUUAUACUUUAUAUGUAGAGAUAUUUAAAAAUUAUUUAUUUAUUUAUUUAUUUAUAUUGAGAUAUUAUUUUCUACAAGUAUUUAAGAUUAUUAAAAAGAUACUAAUUAUGAAAAAUUCAAAAUAUGGAUGUUUAUCUAGAUUUUUAAUUUAUCAAUUAAAACUAAAAUUUUACACUAUAAAAAUUAAUUUUUGGUUGAUGUAACAAUAUAAGAAUAAAUGAUAUGAUUGCAUGUGUAUUUAAUGAUAUUAUUUCUAUUAGAAAAAAAAUCUUAUAUAUACUAUUAAAGUCUUUAAAAUAAUAAUAUAUCUUUUAAAAAAUAGACUCGUGAAUUGAUUAAUAUAGAUACAGAUAUUUAUAUUAAUAAUUACAUAAAUUAGAAGACAUAAGUAGAAGAAAUAAAAAUAGAUAAUUUCAAUAAUAUCUUAUAAAGAAGCAUUGUGGACAUGGAUUUGACUUUCGAAGAGUUUGUAGAUGUUUGACAGAUUGAAAACUUGGCCAACAAGAUAGUCAUGUGUUGCACAUGUUGACUACUUAUUAUACAAAUUGGUCACUUAUUGUAUAAGUUGGCUAUGUGGUACACAUAUUAUAAACUUGUCUUAUAAGUUGAACUUAUGUUCCACAAGUCAAACAUGUAUUAGAUGAUCUGUAGAAUAUUGCUACAAAGCUCUUUAAUUGUUUUUAUUUUUAUUUUUUGAAAUAAAAAAAACCUCAUUGCUAUAGGAAUAAAAAUUACAAUUAAAUCAGAUGCAUAUAGCUUGGAUAAGAAUGAUUAACAUAAUAGACACUAUUGAAUAAAUUUAAGCUACUAUUAUACAAUCAAACAACAUUGACCUAAAGAGGGCCAAAGUCAUCUAAUUAGUCGUAGUUGAGAAUCACUGGCCCUACUUAGUUGCUCAAUUAUGGGGCUUGAAAAACAAACCUUGCCAUCAAUUCCAACAAUACCUAUUGGAAGUUACCAUCUAACAUAGAGGCAAAAUUUUCUUAGAAUCACUAUUGUUUUUCAAACCAACAUAUAAAUUUUAUAUUAACUGCUACUUAAAAUUUUUGGUGUUUGUAAACUAUUGACCAUUUGACAUGACCAUAGUCAAGGAUCUUGAGUCACAUAGUCUGUGAUAGUUUAGUCAAGUACCACCAAAUGUUGUUAAAAAUUAUAUCAUUUUACUCUUUCUACAACAUCUAUAAAAUUAAUAUUUUGAAUUGUAACCAAAAAAGAGUGAACUAGUCAAAAUUAUGAAAAAUUCUCUUUAAGAAUAGCCCCUACUAUCAAAAAAAUGAUUGCCAUGGUUAGUAUGCAUCUAUACUAUAUGUUAAUGAAUUGAGAAUACAAACCUCUAUUUCUAAGCUUAUUAGGCAAGUAUGCAUUUUCAAAAGCAAUGUAGAAUUAAUUCUUGAAAAUAAUAUGAAUAGAUAAGUCAUCAAAGAAAUAGUGAAUGGUCAAUUCUACCUCUCGAAGCAUUAAUCAUGUAGCAUGGUAUCAAAACAACUAUAGAAGUUCUAAUUCUUUGCUAGCAUAUUGUUUUAUGUAGACCAUUUUCAUUGUAGCCUAUAUAUUUUUGAAAGGAUAUCAAAAUAGGAUUGAACUUUUUCUAAGAUCUAAAAUCCUUCUAAUCCAUAGUAACAUAAAUUCCAUCACAAAAAAAGACAAAGAAAAUUAGUACAAAACUAAACAAAACCAAAUAGAAUAUAACAUGAAAGGCAAAAUAAAAUAAAAGUAAAUAGAAUAGAAUAGAACAAAAAAAUACAAAUCAAACUUUACUAAGAAAAAGGGACCAAAGCCAUACUUGACUAAUUACAAAAAUGGCCUUACUUAAUUCUAUUUAUACUUUAUUCAAUCAUUUUAGAAUUUUUUAGAAUAUUCUUAAUAGUAGAUCUUACCAUGAUAAUAUCUUGUUCUAGAAGGUUCUAAAAGUGGAUCCUAUCUAAUUAAUUGCCUUUCUAAAAGAUUUUAAAGAUAAGUUCUAUUUAGAUAAUCAUCCUAAGUUCUUUCUAGAAUGUUUUAUAGUAGAUCCUUCAUGGACCACCAACCUAGCUUCAAUUCUAGAAACUUCUAAAACCUUCCCAAAAACAACUCCAAUUACCUAUAUCUAUACAUCAAUAAUACAAAUAUCUGAUUCAUGCACUGUUAUAGAUGCUAAAUUAUUUCUUCACAAUAAAAUUAAAGAUGACAUAUUUAUCUUGUAAUAAUUUUUAGUUAAACUUUACAAAAUACUCCAUAAAUAAGAUAAUACCUUUUAAAUAUAGCCAUUGAAGCUUGAAGGAUUCCAAAUAAAGUUGGCAACUUUCCUAUAGAAAAAAAGUAUGGACUUCUCUUUUAGUUCUCUAUAGACUUGUAACACUUGGACCUAAUAGUGAAUACCUUCAAACAUAUUAUUAGUAUUUGACAUUUCUUUUCACAUCCAUUAUGAGGAUGGAAGUACUAAAUAUCUAAGAGUGGCUAAAUAAAAGUAAGUUUUGUUGAUGUGAUGUAAUAUAACUAAAUGAUAAAAAUAUAUUCAAAAUUAAAUUUCUUAUUAAAUAUCUAAUUAUCUUGGUUCAAUAAUAAUUUAAGAUAUUAAAACAUGGCUUUUAAAAAAGCCUUUUAGUUUAUUUUCUUGUCUAAAUAGUUAAUAGGUCAAAAUUUAGUUAAUAAUUUUAUCUUCUAAGAUAUAGAUAUUCUUUUACUGCUUUAGAAAGACCAUAAUUUAGUAAAAUCAUAUUUGAAGAGAUAAAUAAUUAGCAUAGUUGAUACUAGGAUUAAGUUGCUAGUAAGGUUGGGCUAAAAAAUCCUAGGAUAGAUUAGAUUGAUACUCAAGGGUCGACCAUUUGUGAGACAGGGACAAAAUUAGACCUUUAGUCAAUAAAAUGACCGCCUAGGAUAAAACACGAUUUCAUUCAAAGAUCAAAAAUUAAAAUUGGAGAGUUAGAUUGAAGCUUGUAUCAUAGACAUAAGGCUUAUUUUUAUAGGAUUUGAUUGGACUUUGAAAUUUUUAUUCAAAGUCACGAUUUGUAAUGGUGACUUGGAAUUUAUGCAAUAGAAUUAGGGCUAGCACUCUCAACUAGUUUGUGAAAUUGAUGUCACAUCUAUGGUUCAAAAUUUGACAAAGCUUGGUAAAUUUGGUGUAUUGAGUAAAUUUGAAUUUUUUUCAUAAUCCAACAGUGUCAUAUAAUAUAUUAUCUUGUUUGAAAAUGCACCAAGCACCUAGGUGAAGAAGGUGAGGGUAUAUUUCACAAAUAUCCAAGAGUUCUUAAUAGGUUUCACCCACAUGGAAAGAAUAUAACUCAAAUUUCAAUUCAAAAUUACUAAAAAACAUUCUUCUUAGUAGCUUCAAUUACACAUAAACCUCAAUUACCUUGUUACUUUCAUAUUUAAGUAAUUUAGAUUUUUUUUGUAAGCCCCAAUCAUAAUCAAUGAGCUUUGAUAAAUUAUAACAUCUAAUCUGCUUUUCCACUUGAUGUGAAAUUUUGCAUAAAUUUUUUAAUAUAAGUCUUCUAUACACUCAAGAAUUUUCAGCCCAAUCCAAUUUAUAGAUUUUGAGAAAACCUCCAAAAACUGCACUAAUAUCACUCAACUGCCAACUUGAAAGGUGAAGCAAAAGUUCCAGUAGUGAUUUCUCCUUCUCCAACUGUUAACUUCAACUUAAAAUUGGUGUGUAACUUGAUCUUCAAGUCCUUUCAUACCAUGCCAAAUUUCACCUUGAUCCAACUAGUAGAUCUCUAGAUAUCAUAGAAAUCCUACCCAACUCCAAAUUGCCAAUUUUUGGUAUGUUCUUAAAUAAAAACCCAAAUAUCUCCCAAUCGCAUUUUUGGAUUAUUACAAAAUUUUACAUUAAUUUAAAAAACCUAAUUAACCAAGCACUAUAAAAAUUUGAGCUAUAGAUGUGACACCAAUUUUAUAAACUAGCCAAGAGUGCUAGCCCUAAUUUGAUUGCAUAAAUUCCAAGUUGCCAAUACAAACCUUGACUUCCAACAACAAUUGCCAAAUUUCCUCAAAUCCUACCAAAAUCAACCUUAUGCCUCUAAAACAAGCUCCAACCUAGCUCUGAAAUUCUAAUCUCCGAGCUUUGAAUGAAACCCUACUUUGUCCUAGGCGAUCAUUUUAGUUGCUAGAGUUCUGAUUUCACCUUUGUUUCACAAAUGGUCGACCCCCUGAUAUCAAUCUAACCUAUCCUAAAGAUUUCUUAGUCCAAUUCUACUCUCAACUUAACUUUAGUAUCAAAUAUACUAAUUAUUUACCUCUUCUAAUAUGAUUUUAUCAAUUUAUGAUCUUUCUAAGGUAGUAAAAGAGUCUCUAUAGCUAGAACGUAAAAUUACUAUUUAACCUUCAACCUACUAACUAUUAAGAUAAGAAAAUAAUCUAAGAGGCUUUUAUAAAAGCCAUGUUUAAAUACCUUAAAUUAUUAUUAAAUCAAGAUAAUUAGAUAUUAAUUAGAAAUUCAAUUUUGAUUAUAGUUUCACUAUAUAAUUGUAUUACAUCAUGACAACGGUGUAAUUAAAAGAUAUCUAGGAUUUUGUACAAAAAAUAUCAAAAGUUGAUAGUUUAGGAUUUGAUAAAGUUUCUAUGAUAUCUAAAGAUCUAUUAGUUAGAUCAAGGUGAAAUUUGGCAUAAUAUUAUAAGACUUUGUCAUCAAAUUACUUACCAAUUUUGAGUUAAAUCUAAUAGUUGGAGAAGGAAAAAUCACUACUGGAAUGUUUGUAUCAACUUUCAAGUUGGUAGCCAAGUAACAUCAGUGUGGUUUUUGGGCGUUUUCUCACAAUUUGUAAGUUGGAUUGGAGUGGAUUCUAUAUAAGCACAUAGAAGACUUAUAUUGGCAUUUUUGUGCAAAAUUUUGUUCCAAGUAGAGACUUUGAUUAAAAGCUACAACUUGCUAAAGCUUGCUAAUUAGGAUUAAGGUUUAUAAAGAAAAUUCAAAAUUGCGUAAUUAUAAAAGUAGUAAGGCAAUUGGAAUUUAAAUAUGAUUGAGAUUACAAAAACGAUUGUUUUUGAGAAUUUUGUAUUAGAUUUAAGCACUUUUGAAUUAAAAUUCAAAUUACAUUCUUUUUAUAAGAAUGAAACAUAUAAGGAUUUUUGGAUACUUGUAAAACAAAAUCCCACCUUCUAUAGUCAAAUGCUUGGUACAUUUCCAAAUAUGAUAAUAUGUAAUACAACAUAAGUCAUGAACUUGAUGUAAAAUGUUUGAGAAAGAAGGUAUUGGAUUUUAUUUGUGAUUAUUUGGAAUUGAUGGCACAAAACGGCAAGAAGGUUCAAUUUAGAGUUUUUGAUCUAGCUUUGGGUGGAACUUCAAGUGGAUUUUUAAGUAGAGCUUCAAGUAGAUCUUCAAAUAGAGCUUCAAGUGGAUUUUUUGUUGGUGAACAAGGUACAUACUUUGAUCCAAAUAUCACAAAAAUAUUUCAAGCAUUUACAUUAUUUAUGCAACAAUAACAUGGCAAUGAUCGCAAAGAGGCUUUGCCAAUCAAAGCAUUGCAAGUAGUAGUUAACAAGGUUGACCAAUUUGAUGGGAGGGAUAUUUCCAAAUAUUUAAGAUAUUAUGUGUGGGAAAUAGAAUAGAAUUAUAUUUUUGAGAAAGAGAUAAUUUAAUUAUUUGAGCUUGCUAUGGUACUAGACAUAAGAGAGCAUAUAAGGUCUAUUAUGGAACAAUUUAGAAGUUCAUAGAAAGUAUUUUUACAUGCAUUGAAGGAUGAAUAUUUUUUAGAAGAUAUUAAUUUAGUUACUAAGAAAUCAUUCUUAAAAAAGAUUGAACAAUCUAAUAAGAAUUUAUAAGCUACAAAAUUAUUAAGAAAAUUUUAAAGGCAAUUUUUUUGAUUAUCAAGAAUGAAAAAGUUAAUACUAGGAUAAAAUAAGAUUGAAUUUUUUCUUCAAGCUGCUAAUGGAUAUUUAUAAGAAAUGUUAGAAGUUCUUCUUGAAGACAAGGAAGAAGAUGAAGGGUUGACAAUAAAAUGGAAGGCUGUUGAAGAUGCUAUUGGAUUGCUUUCCAAAAGAAAAAGGAAAAAGAAUAGGAUUGGUGUUCAAAAAUUGGUGUAAGUACCGAAGACCCCAAUGCCUACUAUACAAUUGAUUGUGCCUAUUGUUCAACUUCCACUGCCUACUCCAAAGAAAGAAGAUAUAGAAUUUGAGAUGAUUGUACAUGGGAUGUGAGAUCUUGAAAACAAACAUGCAAGGCUUAAAGAGAAGACUUCUACAAUAAAUUCAAAGGCUAAUUUUAAACAAGGAUAUGUACAAAGAUGUAUUUGGUGUGAUGAUGAAUUUUUUUCUUAAAAAAAUUACAGUGAAUUCAAUGAGAUGGUGCAACAAGGCGUUGUUUAUUAGAAAGAUUGAAAAGUUGCAUUGAAGGAUACUGGUAAUCUUUUCCAAAUCAACUUUGGUAAAAGAGAUAUGAAAGCGUUGAUUAAAGAUUAUUUUAUAAUUUAUGGAGUUAUAGUAAUGGAAGCUACAAGUUAUAGAACUAAGGUGGAUAAUGAUGGCAAAAAAAAUUUGUUAGAAAUAUUUAAUCAAGUGGACUAUGUUCUUUUGCCAUUUCUAUAAUACAAAAAGAGAAGAUGCCAAUGGAAGCUUUACUGAGAACUGCUGUAAAAAUUUAUGGUGCUAUGAAUUGAGAGGAUCUUAUAGAAGCUUAAUCAGUACAUGCAUAUAUUACUAAAAGCCAACAUGAAGCUUUAAUAAAAGAAAAGAAGAGAAGAAAUUUUGAUGAUACAAGAAAAAGAAAUUCUUCUAAGAGGAAAACUUGAGGAGAUAAGGUUCAUGAAGCGGUUUCACAAGAAUUACCCACAAAAGAUACUUCAACUAUAUUAGAAGAAAAAACAAAGGAAAUGAAAGAUAAAGAUAAAUUGACAACUUACAAACUACUCUCUAAUAUUGAAGCUACAUCAAAUUUAAAGAGAGUGUUUGAGGAACAUAUGCUCAGUACUAAGGUUGAAUUCACAUUCAAGGAGAUUUUGGAAAUUGCUAAGAAAAAAUUCCAUGAUGUCAUUAUUAACAAUAUUAAACAAAAGAGAUAAUUAAUAAAAGAAGCUAAAUUGAGUCAUACUAUUGAUGCAUACAUAUAUGAGGGUGAAGAAGAUGAAUUUGAUAAUUAUUGCAAACAAUCAGGAAGUGAAAAAAAGAAUCAUAACUAAAGAAUAUAUUUUGAUGAUUAAAGUAGUAAAGAUAAAGAAGCUUCUAAUAUUUUUGAGAAUAGAAAUAUUAUGUAUAAGAGAAUUGAUGAUUUAAAAAAAAAAUAUGUGCUAUUAAAAAAUAAUUGUACAGAUUAAGAAUAUUAGAAGAUAAUAAAAAUUUUAUUGGUAUUUAUGAAGAAAAUGGAGAAGAUGAUCUUUUAGAAUUAUUUGCAUCUAUUGGAUUAGGUAAUAAUAAUAAAGUUAUAUAAAUUCAUUCAAGAAAAUUUUAUGAUAUGAUUGAAUCUUUUCAAACACUAGAGAUUAUGGUUAAGACAAAAUAUAAGACAAUAGAUAAGAAGGAGAAACCUGUUGAUGGAGCUUUGCUAGAAGAUUCUAAAGAACUUAUAGAAGAAGCAUUAAAAAAUAAGAGCUUAAAGAAUCUAAGGAAUAUUAAAAAACAAGUUUAGUAAAGAGACUUUUGAGGAAUUGAAGAUUAGUCCUGAUGGUUCUUUAUUGCCAAAAGAAAUAAUUUGCUUCAAAGAUAUGUUGACAAAAUAAAGUAGAUCAUUUGCCUUUAAAUUUCAUGAAACUAGAUGUACAGAUCCAAAUAUUAUUAGGCCUAUGGUAAUUUUUAUUAUACCACAUGUACUUUGGAAUUUAAAGCCAAUUUUAAUAUUAAAGGCACAUUUAUCAAGCUUGGUGGAAUUAUUAAAAGAAAAGAUAAAGAUAAAGAUUUUAAAGCCCUCUUUUGUGCCAUAUUCUAAUCAAUGGUUUACGGUGCUUAAGAAAAAUAAAUUAUAAAUAUUAAUUUAAGAUAUGAAACCAAUGAAUGCGGUGACUAUUAAGAAUGUAGGAAUUGAGCCAAUAGUAAAUGAAUUUGUUGAAGCAACUGCACGAAGGGCAAUCUAUUCAAUGGAUGAUUUGUAUUGGAGCUAUGACCAAUUUGAACUUGCAGAAGGGAGUAGAGAUAUGACAACAAUGAAAACAUUACUUGGACAAGUUAGAAUAUGUAUUCUUCUUCAAAGUACAAAAAAGUCAGUUGUACAUAUGAUGAAUGAGAUGAACAAGGUAUUGAAGAAUUUUAUUCCUGAAAAGACUUUAUCUUUUUUAGAUGAUAUUUGUAUAAAGGGGUGCAAAGAAAAAGACAAGGAUGAAACUUUAGAUAAGAAGAGAUAUUGCAAGUAUAUUGGUAAUCAUAUAUAAGAUUAUAAAAAAAUAUUGAUUCGACUUGAAGAAAUUUAUCUUACAUUAUCGGAUAUAAAAUCUAUAUUUGGAAUAUAAGAGGUCAUAAUUAUUGGAUAUUUAUGUAGAUUUUAUGGAAGAAAACUAGAUCCAAUGAAGAUUGAUGCAAUUAGAAGAAUGAAUCGAGAUUGUAGUUCUUUAACAAAUGUUCAUAAGUUUUUAGGUGCAUGUAUAUUUUAUCAUAUUUGGAUUCCUUACUAUGCUCACAUAGCGGAUCCAUUGUAUAAAUUCUUAUGCAAGGGUUGUCAUUUUAAAUGAGAAAAAAAAUAUAUUAAAGUAGUACAAAGAUUGAAGAAAUUAUUGACAUCACCUUUAAUGUUGAGAAAAAUUAAUUAUAAGUACAAUAUGCUAAUGAUUUUCAUAGUGGAUAUUAGUCCAAUUGCCAUUGAAUGGAUUGAAGGUCAAAAUGAUUUGAAUGGACAUAGAUUUGCAGUGCAAUUUGGAGCUAAGGUUUUAAAUACUCGCCAACAUGCAUAUUCACACAUGAAAAGGGAACUAUGGAGAGUUGUUUCAGCUAUAAAAGCUGAAAAAGAUUAUUUGAUUGGGGCAAUGGUGGUAAUUGAAACAGAUUAUUUGCCUUUACUUAGAAUAAUUAUUAAUUAUAUAAUACCAGAUAUUGUGAUGUUGAGAUGGAUUACUUAUAUCAAGUUAUUAAAUCCAAAAUAUAGGCAUGUUGUAGGGAAAGUCAAUUCGAUAACAAAUAUAUUAUCUUGAGCAAUAUUUGAUAGAAAAGAUGAGAUGAUUGAGGAUAUUGGUGAUGUGGAUACAAAAUUUUAUUUGGUUGCAUAAUAGAACAAAGAAAAUAAGCUAUUUCAUGAAGAAAAUUAGGAAGAAGAGUUAUUGGAUCUUUGACAUUAUUUGAACACAUUAAUCAAGCAUACUUAUUAGUUGAUUUAAAUUUUUAAAAAAAUUAAGAAAAAAAACAUAUAGAUUUGUAUUAUAAGGAAGAUUUCUAUAAAAGAGGCGGAAAUCAAAUAUCACAAUGCCACGACAAGUAGUAGGUAUCAAAAAAGAUCAACAAAGACUACUCAAGGAGUUGAAUGAUAGUCUAUGGAUAGGACAUAGAGGAAUUUGGGCUACUUUUACUAAAUUGAAGGAACAAUAUUGGUGAAAGAAUAUGUAUUGAGAUGCAGCUUCAUUUAUAGAAUCUUUUAUAAGUUGUCAAAUGUAUUCAAAUAUACAACAUUGAAAUGGUUUACAUCGGACACAUCCUUUGGCUAUUCAUUUUAAAUGGAUUAUGGAUUUGGUUAUUAUACCAAUGAGACUAUAGCAGAUGAGAUAUUUAGUUUUGGCUUAUAAAUAUUCCUCAAAGCAAAUAGAAGGCAGGGUACUAAGAACAAAGUCCACUGAAGAAAUUUGUAGGUUUUUACAUGAGGAUUUUAUUUGUUAUUAUGGAUAUGUAAAAAAGAUCACUGCAAAUCAUGGAGAAUUGAAUAUCCAUGAAGCUCAUGAGUUCUAUAAGAGAUGUGAAAUUAAAUUAUCAUUAAUUAUAAAUUAUAAUCUAGAGGGAAAUGUAAAGAGUGAACGUGAACAUCCACCAAUUAUAAAAGCCUUGGUUAAAGCUUCCAAUGGAAGAGUGAGAGAAUGGCCUUGACUUGUACCUUAUGCAUUAUGGACUCAUUAAAUAUCACAUAGUUCAAUAACAUGAUAUAUGUCGAUAGAACUUAUGAUAGGUCAAAAACUAAUUAUGCCAAUUAAAGAAUAUAUUCUAACUUAAAAUAUGCUAUUAUAAGAAGUUGAAUUGAUAAGAGAGGAAUUAUUAGCUAUUAGAAUUUGGCAACUUGGACAAAGAUUGGAAGAUGUGGAACUAGUAUUAAAAAGGUUAUAAAAGGCGAGGUUAGAAAAUAAGACUCAAUUUGAUAAGCAACAUCGAUUGUGGCCUAGAGCAACUGAAGAAGGUGAUUGAGUACUUAUUUAUGAUAAUAGUCUAAAUAACCAAUAUAGUGCUUUGCAGAAGUUUUUAAAAUAUUGAUUUGGACCAUAUGUAAUAGUAAUGGUUCAAAAUAAUGCCACAUAUUUAUUAAAGGAGUUAGAUGGUACAAGAUUGAAGAUAUCUAUUGUUGAGAAGUGAGUGAAGAUUUUCAAAAGACGAGAUAGAGAAAUCAAUGUGAAAGAUCGCACUGAAGAUAUCAAUAUUUUUGAAGAAGAUAAUUAUUUUGAAAUGGAUAGUAAAAAUAGUAAUGAAAGAUUUGAUGCACAAAAUGAAGAGAUGGUGUGAUGUGAGUUAUGAUAUAUGAUUCAUUUGGUGCAUGCUAGAAGAUGUGCAAGUUAAGAGAGGAUAGAUGUCUUGAUGUAAUAUGACUAUAUAGUAAAAAUAUAAUCAAAAUUGAAUAUCUAAUUAAUAUCAAAUUAUCUUGGUUCAAUAAUAAUUUAAGAUAUUUAAAUGUGGCUUUUAUAAAAGCCUCUUAGUUUAUUUUCUUAUCUAAAUAGUUAGUAGGUUAAAAGUUGGUUAGUAAUUUUACCUUCUAAGAUAUAAAGAUUCUUUUAUUGCUUUAGAAAGACCAUAAUUUAGUAAAAUCAUAUUUGAAGAGAUAAAUAAUUAGAAUGGUUGAUACUGGGAUUAAGUUGCAAGUAGGGUUGGACUAAAAAAUCCCUAGGAUAGGUUAUAUUGAUACUCAAGGGUCGACUAUUUGUGAGACAGGGUCAAAAUCAGACCUCUAGUCACUAAAAUGAUCGCCUAGGAUAAAUUACAAUUUCAUUCAAAGAUCAGAAAUUAAAAUUGAAGAGUUAGAUUGAAGCUUGUUUCAUAGACGUAAGGCUUAUGUUUAGAGGAUUUGAUUGGACUUUACAAUUGUUGUUCAAAGUCAGGAUUCAUAAUGGUGACUUGGAAUUUAUGCAAUAGAAUUAGAGCUAGUACUCUCAGCUAGUUUGUGAAAUUGAUGUCACAUCUACAGUUCAAAAUUUGAUAGUGCUUGGUUAAUUUGGUAUUCUAAGUGCAUGUGAAAUUUUGACAUAAUCUAAUGGUGUAGUUGAAAGAUAUCUAAGAUUUUAUACAAAAAAUAUCAAAAGUUGACAGUUUAGGAUUUGGUAAAGUUUCUAUGAUAUCUAAAGAUCUAUUAGUUAGAUCAAGGUGAAAUUUGGCAUAAUAUUAUAAGACUUUGACAUCAAAUUACAUACUAAUUUUUAAUUAAAUCUAAUAGUUGGAGAAGGAGAAAUCACUACUGGAAUGUUUUCAUCAACUUUCAAGUUAAUAGCCAAGUAACAUUAGUGUGGUUUUUGGGCAUUUUCUCACAAUUUGUAAGUUGGAUUGAAGUGAAUUCUAUAUAAGCACAUAAAAGACUUAUAGUGGCAUUUUUGUAAAAAAUUUUACUUCAAGUAGAUAGUUUGAUUAGGAGCUAAAGCUUACUAAAGCUUGCUAAUUAAGAUUAAGGUUUAUAAAGAAAAUUUAAAAUUACCUAAUUAUGAAAAUAACAAGGCAAUUGGAAUUUAAGUAUGAUUGAGAUUAUUAAGAAGAUUGUUUUUGAAUACUUUUUAUUAGAUUUAAGCACUUUUGAAUGAAAAUUCAAAUUGUAUUCUUCUUAUAAAUGUGAAACAUAUUAGGAUUCUUAGAUACUUGUAAAAUAUAAUUCUACCUUCUACAGCCAGAUGCGUCAUACAUUCUCAAACAAGAUAAUAUGUAAUAUGAAAACAUUCUUAUGUUAUGCCAAAAAAAGAGAUGUAGAUUUAGAUCAAUAAAGAAUAAUUCUCUUGAAGGUAGAGCAUUUUCAUCUUUGAGUGAUAAAAUCAGCAUUGACUAUUGAUUUGAUUUUUAUCAAGUAAAUUCAAUCAAGUAUGUCUUGUAAUCUACUUAUUCAUGAUAUCAAGAAUAAUUCUUCUAAGUCUUAUGAUACUUUCAAAUUCAAGUUCAAGUUCAAAAAUAAUCUAUUCUAUUUUAAGAAACAAUUAUAUAUUUUAAAAAAUAAAGCACACUUAUGUGUUUUUUAAUCUCAUCAUGACUUUCUAGCAAUCAAAUAUUUUAGAUAUAACAAGACUUUGGAGCUAAUAUCUAGAAAUUUUUGGUGGCUUCAAAUAUAGAUAUUAGUCAAAAGCUUUAUACAAUUGUGUGAUAUUUUUUCAAGAUCUAAAACUCCUCAUCAUUGAUUUUAUAGACCUCUUGUCACGGCCAUAAUCAUGUAAGCUAAUAAUUACAUAUAGAAAUAGGUAGAAGUAAGUAAAAGUAGAUAAAAGUAAGUUAAUUGUAUAAUAUUUAAUAUAGAAGCUUCCUAGAAACUUCCUAGACGCUGCUUUGACUUCAUAGGUGUCUUUAAUUGACUUUUUGGAUUAGAAACGUGGUCAACAAGUUGGCCAUGUGCCACACAUGUUGUUAGCUUGAAGAUCAAGCUAACUAUGUGGCCCACACGUAGAAAAACUUGCUUUGUAAGUCAAGGCAUGUGUCCUACAAAGUCAACACAUAUUGGAGGUCCUAUAGAACGUCGCCACGUAGCCCCUAGUUAGAUAGUAUAUAUAGAGACAAGAGUGAAGGCUUCUUCACUCUUGUCAACUCCUUUCUUGCUUCUAGUCCAGGUUCAAGAGUCUUUAGUUUCUUGUCUUGUGGCAAUAGCCAUUCCAGUUUCCUUUUAAUAUACCUACUUGUUUAUAUUUUGACUUAUUAUAUCGAGAUAGCCUUUUGGUGUAUAUUUUUUCUUAUCGAGUCUUUGUCCUUGACAGAUUGACAAGAGUACACUUACAAUAUCAGAGCUUCUUCUAUUUUUAUGGAUUUUAUCUCAAAUCUUUCAAUUCUAAGUUUUUAUAAUUCUAUAUUCAUAAUAGUAGCUUAUUUUAUUAAGAUGGUAUAUUGUAUACCAUGUAAAAAAUCUAUUUUAAGUAAAAAAACAACUAAGUUUUUUUAUCAACAUCUAUAACUAUGAUGGAUUGUCGAAAGAUAUUAUAUCGGAUAGGAGGACUUAAUUUAUAUUAAGAUUUUGGAGAAUUCUUUUUAAGAUUUUAAAGAUGGAUAUUAAGCUCUCUUCAAAUUUUUAUCCUCAAAUUAGUAGACAAAUAAUAUAGAUGACUCAAGUUCUAGAGCAAUAUUUUAGAUUUACCAUUUAUUAUCAUCAAGAUGAUUAAACAACACUUUUGCUAUUAGUAAAUUUUGCGUAUAAUAACUUGGUACAUUCUUCUAUUCAAUAAACACAUUUUUUUUAUCAAUUAUGGUUAUCAUCCAUGAUUUAAUAAUUUUGACUUUUUAAAAGUUUAUAAUCAUGUGACAAAAAAUUUGGCAAAUCAUUUAUUAGAGCUACAUGCAACAAUGAAGGCAUAGUUAAAAGAAGCUCAAGAACAAUAAAAAAUCAAUGUGGAUUCCUACUACAAGAAACAACCACAAUUUAAUGUUGAUGAUAAGAUAUGACUACUUCAUUGCAAUAUUAAGACUAUUCAUCCUUAUGAUCAUUUGGACUAUUGUAGACUUAGACCUUUUUCAAUUACUGAACAAGUCACUCUUAUUGCUUAUCAAUUACAUCUAUCGGAGUCUAUGAAGGUCCAUUCUAUAUUCUAUGUGUUUCUCCGUGAACCAUAUAAGACAAUGAAUAUCUCAAAAGGAAGACAAAUGCUACUUUUUUCUAUAAAAGUAGAUAAUAAUAAAGAAUUCAAGAUAGAAGAAGUCUUAGAUUUAAGGUAGUAUCAAAAUAGAUUAGAAUAUCUUAUUUGUUGGCAUAGAUAUGAUAUUAAUAAAUAUACAUAAGAGCUAGCAAAGAAUCUUGUAAAUACAACAAAGAAGUUUGAGGCUUUUUAUAGAUAAUAUUCAUCAAAAUCAAAAUAAAGAAUAGAUUUUUUUAUAGCAAAUCUUUGCUAUAAAAGAAACAAGAUCUAAAGAAGAUAGAAUUUUAUCUUCUAUUCUUAUUUGUAACUUUUGUAUAUUUGUAAGACUAAAAAAAUAGAUAAUCAACAACCAGCAGAUUCAAUUAAAGAGCUAUCUUUUGCUAACUUAUUAGACAAGAUAUUGCAAUUUUUACAACCUUUAAGAUGACAUAAUGAAAAUGAAGAUCUUCAAAAAUAAUAUGUCUUUCUUUGAAUAAAUAGCAAGAUACAACGUGUUUGAUAUCAUGACCUUAGAAGAGAUUCCUGAUAUUUGGUGAUUUUAUUAGAGGUAGAAACGACUCUUAAUGGUAUUUCAAAUAUUUUAUUUUAAAGGAGUUAUAAAGGCUUCAAUAAUGAUCAAAUUAUAAGGUGGUUUUUGUAUAUUAAUAUGAGAUACUAUCAAUAAUUGAGAGGACCUAUCAACCAUCUUCAAUGAGAAAAAAAAUUAGAGUAUGUAGCAAAUAUAAUUUGUCGUAUCUUGGAUUUCUUCAAUAUAUGAUGAUCACUCCUUCUAUAAUUUUUUUUUAGAAUGGAAGGUAAUAUCACAAACAUACAUAUUUAUUUUAAAAUUUACCUCUAUGAUUUAAUAAAAAUAAAUAAAAAUAAAUUUAUUUUAUAAUAUUUUUUAAAAAAGCUUCUUCAAAGCUUCAUAGAUAUUGCUUUGACUUUACAUGUAUUUAUAAUUGAUUGAUAGGUUAUAAACUUGGUCAAAAAAUUAAUCAUGUGUUGGUAGCUUACAAAACAAGUUAACUAUAUGAUACUCACAUAGAAAAUUUGCCAAGUUAAAAAAUGUAUCUUACAAAGUCAAUACAUUUUGGAGGUCCUAUGGGACAUCACUAUAUAGCUCUUAGUUAAGAGUUUAUAUGGAGGAAAGAAUGAAGCCUUCUUCAUUCUUCUCAAUACCUUUCUAGUCCUUAGUCUUAUUUCAAGACUUUCUAAGUCUUCUUAUCUUUGGCAUUAGCCAUUCUAAUUUAGUACUAUAUCAUCUUUGAAUGAUUUUGUAGUCUUUUUGAGUGAUUCAAGAGUAUAUUGGCAUUUUAGUUCUUUAAGGUUCAUAUCUUUGAGAAGAAUUCAAAAAAUAUAAAUAAUUAAGUGAAAUGUUUUAUAAAGAAAGAUAAAAAAAAAUUAAAUAUGUAUAAUCAAGAAAAAAUUGAAAUACCUAUUGCCUAAAAUUAUAUAAUUAGAAAAUAUUAAAAUUAGAUUAAAUACAAGAAAAGAAUUGAUAAGAAUGAAGAAGGCUUCAUUCUUAUCUUUAUAUAUACUAUCUAAUUAAGAACUAUGUGAAAAUAUUUUAUAAGACAUUUAAUAUGUGUCUAAUUUAUAAUACAUAUGUCCAAUUUGCAAGAAAAGUUUUUUAUAUAUACACCACAUAUUUAACUUAUACCACAAGUGGCUAACAUGUACAAUAUAUAGUCAACUUAUUUUUUGAGUUUUUAACCUAUUAAUUACCUAUAGAUAUGUAUGAAAAUAAAAUUACAUCAAUAAAGAUUCUAAAAGGCUAUUCUAUAGAAAAUUAUCAAAUUUAUCCAACUUACUAAUUAAAAUAAAAAACUUUUAGUCUCUUAAAUGUCAGCCAUCUUCCUUCUCCAACCUAAUUAUUGAUCUUUUAGUAGUGAUUUUUCCUCACUAAACUAUUAAAUUGCUUCAAAAUUUGAUUAGUGUAUGGAUUUAUAAGUCAAAAUUGCUCCCACCAAUUUUUGCUUCUAUAGAAUUGGCAGAUUUUGUAGGAUUGUGUGAGCCCAUAUUUCAAUACUCAAUGAAAUUGAUGCUAUACAAUAAGUUUAAGAGGUAGAAUAGAAGAACUUCUAAUUGUGUAAUUACUAAGUUGAUUUAAAUCUUAGUAUUAAUAAUUCAAUUAAAUUUAAGCCUUCAAAGCAAUAGUCACUAAUAUUAAUAAAAAAAAUGAUUUAAUAAAAUUACUAUGGUCUUCAAGGCUAUUUGCAUGAUCCCUACUUAAAUUUCAAUGAAUUGUUUAAGAUCAUUUAUAUAAUCUUUAAUUACUAAUUUUUAUGUGAUUACAAAAGUAUAAUUAAUUAGCUGAAACUUAUAAAUUAUCAUCCCUUAAAUAACUGAUGGUAAAAUUAAUUGAUCAAAUUAUUACCAUUAAUCUAUAGUAAAAUUUUAAAAAUCUUAAAAAUUAAAUUAAAAGUAAAAAUUAAAAGUCAAAGUCAAAAUCAAAAAUCAAAAAUAAAAGUCAAAAGUAAAAGAGAAAAGAUUAAAGGUUAAGAAUUAAAAAUUAAGAUCUAAAAUUUGAAAUAUAAAAGUUACGCAUUAUUAUAAAAAUAAAAGAAAAAAUGAGACUAAAGAGAGAUAAAAGCGAAAUAACCUUGAUAGUGCCCAAGAAUUGAGGGCAGCAAACCUUUUCUACUCCAAAAUUUGCCAAAUUUUUUGAUUAACUCCAAAUUGAAUGAUUUUUAGUUUUUUGAAAAUUUAACUUAAAGGCGCUCCUGAUUUAAUAAAAUUAAAUUCAAUCUGGUACCUAAGCAGCAAGAAAUGUUCUUUUAAAAUUGAGUGACUAAGAGUGCCAUAGUAGGCAACCUCCCUCUACUUGAAAGUUAAAAAAACAUUCAAUUCGUCUUUGAAUUUAGUGAAAUUUAUGCCAUUGAAAGCUUAGCUUGAAGAUGCACUUAUUUCCGAAAUUGCACAAUAAUCCAAUUAGAAAUCAUUGAGAAAUGCUUUUUCAAAGGUGGAUGAUCUAAACUGCCAAGGCAGCCGACCUCCAUGCAUUCAAAAUUCCACCACAAUUUUGUACUUACUCCAAAUUAAGCAACCCUUAUCUUUUUAGAAAGCUAACACCAAAAGCUACAACUACAAAAAUAUUCACAUUGAAACUCAAAAAAUUAAAUGACUGAUUGAGGAAAAUUUGAAGCUCUUAAAUCCUUGAGAUAUUUGAGAGGGUGAGGAAGCUAUCUACCACAAUGACCUAUGUCUCAAAAUCCAAUAUCCAUCAUUCACUACUCAAGAUAUAUGCAUAUACAACCACAAGUUCACAAUGAGAUUAAAAAUCAAAAACAAAAUUAAGAUUAGGAUUUAAGGCCAAAAUUUGGCAUGAUUUCAUCCUUCACCAAAAGAAGAAAGAGAGAAGGCUUGGAGAACCAAGCCACUCUUAUACAAUUGAGUGGUGGGUUGUAGAAGGGCGGCCACAUCUCCACCCUUGAUUUCUAAGAUCACUAAUAUAGAUCUACAGCCUUCAUUCAUUUAAGAGCCAAUUUCAUUAUUAAGGUUGAUGGCUCUUGUAAGUAGUCAAGAAAGUAUCUUUUGGAAAACCUAACUUCACCAUAAUGUUCAAAAUACCUUUUUAUGCUAAAAUCGACUAAUGACAUGUCUCAAUCCAUACUCAAUUAUAAUUUUUAUGGAAGUAUUUACCUACAAGGAACUUGGCAAUUCUUGUAAAAUCCUUCAAAAUGAGAAUUUCAUCACUCCACUUGUAUUUUGAAGGAGAGGGUGCUGAUCUUGUUUUCUUCAUUCCACAAAGUAAAUCCGGUACCACCAUUGCAUUAAAAAGGCUUCUAUUAAUUAGAAGAACCACUAUGCUACUUGAAUUUGUUGAAUUGGAGGAAAUUUCAAAAUUAUCAUUGCUAAACUUCACUAAAUCUUUCAAAAAAUUAUAAUCCUAACUCAUUCUAAAUCAUGUGAAAUGAUUUGAGGUGAAUUCAUAUGCCUUUAAUUAAUCCUCAUAGUACUAACUAACAACCUCUAAAUUAUUAAAAUUAAUUAAGUUGCUAUUUUAAUUUUCUAAUUCUUAUCACUUUAGUCCAAAUUAACCUAACUUAAGGAAUUAGGCUAUAAUUUAUACCAUCAAAGGUUGUAAUCCUAAAAAUUCUAUAAUACUAAAUUCUACUCCUAUAAAUCCUCAAAUUCCACUCUUUAAUCAAUUAAAGAAUCCUAAAAUUAUUGUUGGUGCCUGAUUUUGUACCUUAAGGUUUGAUUUUGAUCCUAAUUCAUAACUAGUCCUCUUUGAAUAUUAAUUCUUGAUAUUUUAAGAUAAGUUUUAUUAAAAUCUAUUCUUAAUUCUUUCUUAAAGAUUUUUAUAUGAUUUAUUUUAUUAACCUACUUUUUUUUGCCUUGUUUAUGGCCUUAUAAAAUAAAUAGAAGUAAUUUUCUAUAAAAAAGUAAUAUUAAUACUAAAAGUUUUUAUUACCUUUCUAUAAUUUAUCCAUAUUUUGCUACUAUAUCUUUCUAUUAGGUUUUUCUGUAAUAAAAUUUAUAUUUUUAUCUUUCACCAUAUAGUCAUAUUACUACACAACAUUACGUUUCUUUAGGACACUAUCAAUGGCUAAGAGGACCCGUUAACUACUUUCAAGGAUAACAAAUUUUAGAGUAUAUUGUAAAUAUAAUUUGAUAUAUCUUAGACUUUUUUAAUAUGUAAUUAUUGUUCCUUAUAGAAAGGAGUUCAUUUAUAGAAAGAAGGAUAAUAUCAUUGAUAUAUAUAUUUAUUCAAAUAAUUAUUUAUAUAAUAUAAAUAAAUAUAUAUAGAUUAAAAUAAAAAUAAUGAUAAUAUCUUAUAGAUAAGUUUUUUAGAAGCUUGAUAGAUGCAACUUUGUCUUUAAAUAUGUUAUGCAAGUUAAUUAUGUAUUGUAGGUUUUAUAGAACUCUGCUACGUAGCUUUUAAUUAGAUAGUAUAUAUAAAGGUAAGAGUGAGGUCUUCCUCAUUCUUAUCAACUUCUUUUUUGCUUCUACUUUUAUUUCAAGAAUCUAUAAUUUUUUAAUAUUUGAGAAUAUCCAUUCUAUUUUUUUUAAAUAUAAAAAUCUAUUUUUUUAUCUUUUUAUCUUCUUUUGAAAAAUAUCUCAUUUGAUUAUUUAUAUUCUUUGUUUUAUUUUCAUUUAUAUAUAGUGAAGAUAAUAUUUUUUUCCAAAAUAAUCACCUUAUUUUAUAAUUUAUAUUUAUUAAGAAUGUAAAAAUUACAAAAUCUUUGUCUUAUUAGAAUUAAAAGCUUCAAUUUAUUUUUUAGCUAAAGAUUUUUUUAAAAGAUAUAUUAUAUUCUUAAUAAAAAAAAAUAUAAGUCCUUUCUUGUAAAAAUCAUAUAUGGUUGUCUUUUGUCUUAUAAAAUUAUUAUGCAUAAAAUUACUUUCUAGAUGUAAAAUAAAUUGUUAUAUUAAUUUAGUAAUACUUCAUAUUUUUAGAUUUUUUUAAACUAGUUACUUCAGAUUUAUAGAGGCUAGAAAAAUUUAACCAUUAAAUAAGUUAGAUUUCUUGUGAUUUUGAUUUUUUUCAUAGUAUAAUCAAGUCUUUUGCUAAUCAAGUAGAAAGUCAAAAGUCUAGUAUAUACAAAUCCUUAUUUACAGAUGUAAGAGUUUCUAUGCUUGCAACAAAAGAAGAAUCAUCUUUUGUUAUUUAUGUUAUGUCCAUUUCUAAUGGUGGAAAGGCUUUAAAUAGCAUUCCAAAAAAAUAUCAAAACUAUCAAUAUGUUUUUGAGAAAAAAAAUACAAAUAUUCUUCCAAAUUAUUAUCUCUAUGAUAACUUAAUUGAUCUCCAAAAAAGAAGUCAAUUUCCAUUUGAAUCAAUCUACUACUUAUUAAAAAUUAAAUUAGCUUCAUUCAAAGAAUACAUUGAUGAAAACUUAGCCAAAGAUAUCAUGUGUUAUUUAAAAUCUUUAAUUAUUAUAAAAAAAUAAGUAUCCUCUAGCUUUGAUAUUGAGACUUUUAGAACAAUUGAAUUAAGCAAAGAUCUAUAAAAUAAUAAAUCUAUAAAAUAAUAUACAACUUAAUACUUAUAAAAAAUAGAAAUGAAUAGAAGAUUAUAUUUCAAAGUAUAUAUAUAUAUAUAUAUAUAUAUAUAUAGAUAUAUAUUGAAUAUAAUUUCAUACCUUUUAGAUUUGCAAAUAUGUUAGCUACUUUUUAAUAUUUGAUUAAUAAUAUUUUGUAUGAAUUUUUAUAUUAUUUUAUUAUUUUUUAUUUAAAAAAAUACUUUAAUCUACUCUAAAGAUAUAAAAUAAUAUAAAAUUAGUUUUUAUUUUAUAUAAUAAAAAUUUAGACCUCCAAUACUAUAUUUGAAGGUAGUAAAGUAUGUAUUUUAUAUAAUUUAAGUUGAUUUCUUUAGAUUUAUCAUUUCAAACAAAAAGCUUAUGAUUAAUCUUAACAAAGUUUAAACUAUCAUAGAUUAAAAAAGCAAAGUCAAAGUUAUAUAUAUAUAUAUAUAUAUAUAUAUAUAUAUAUAUAAGAAUUUUUUGAAUAUUAUAGAAUAUGAAUGGAUGAAAAUUUGUAGGAUUGUAGAUUUACUUAUUUUAUAAGAAUUUAAUAAAUUUUAAUUCAAUCAAACGAUUAGAUUAUAAGUUAUUUGGAUUUAAUAGAAUAGAGGUUUUAGAAUUUGGUUUUUAAAGGUUAGUAAGUGUUUUUUUGAUCUCGAGUGAUUUUCUAGUUGGAUAUUUUUUUAUUUUUUUUUGAUCAAGUAAAAAACUUAGUUUGUAAUAUUUUUGUUAAUUUUGAGAGAAACUAAAUAGUUAAAUAAAGAGCUAUUGUUACUAGCAGAUUGAUCUUAAGAUUGAAAAAGAAAGAUAGCCAACAUCUAAGCGUAUUAUGAGAUUUUUAGCUCAAUUAGUAAUUUAAAUUUUCUUUUAUUUUUUUUACUUAUUAUUAAUUAUUAUAUUGAAAUAUUUAUAAUUUUUUAAGCAAGUUCAAUGAUUUAAUUAGUAAUUAUUGAGAUUUUAAGGUUGAUAUAGAUAUUUGUUAAAAUUGGGUAGGAUUUCAUAAAGAUUUUAAUAAAAGUUAUUUGGAUUUUUUUUAGAAUUCUAUUAGAUUUUGUUAGAAUUCUUUAAGGACUUAUUUAGGAUUUUAUUAGAAAUUAAAAAUUUACUUAGGAAUUUUUUAAGAUUCUUUUAAAUACAUUCUUGAAGGUUCCUUUAUGAUUUUAUUAAGAUUUGAAUAAAUUUUGAUUAGAAUUACUAAUGUUAAAUUGAGAUUUAUUUAUAAUUUUAUUAGAAUUGUUAGGCUCUUUAUUUAUUACAAAAUAUAAUUUUAUUUUUUAUAAUCAAGUAUUUAGUGCAACCUCAAGCAAGACGACAUGCAAUAUGACAUUGGACUCUAUAAAAAUCCAUCCCAUAUUCCAUGUAUCUCUUCUUGGGCUAUAUAAAUUAGUAGAUAAACAAAACAUAUAUAUAUAUAUAUAUAUAUAUAUAUAUAUAUAUGUAUAUAUGUUUUUUCUAAAUAUGUUUUAUUUUUAUAUAUAUAUAUAUAUAUAUAUAUUUAUAUAUAUGUUUUUUCUAAAUAUGUUUUAUUUAUAUAUAUAUGUAUAUAUAUAUUAUAUCUUUUUAUGAAAGUGGACAAUAAUUAAGAAUUUGAGGUAGAAGAAAUUUUAGACUUAAAACAAUGCUAAAAUAAAAAAUAAAGGCCCUCAAGAAUAACAGUUUCUUUCUUGAAUAAAUGGAAAAAUAUACGGCAUUUGAUAUCACGACUUAAGAAGAGUCUUUCAAUAUUUGGUGAUAUCAUUAGAGGUAGGAACUACUUUUGAUGGUGUUUCAAAUGUUUUAUCUAAAACAAGUUACAAAAGUCUCAAAAAUGAUUAAAUAACAUGAUGGUCUUUUUGCCAUAAUAUGAAACACUAUCAAUGGUUGAAAGGACCUAUCAACUAUCUUCAAUACAAGCAAAAAUUAGAAUAAGUAGAAAAUAUAGUUUGUCACAUCUUAGACUUCUUCAACAUGUGGUUACUGCUUCUUGUAGAACUUCUUACUAGAAUGGGAGAUAAUGUCACAAAUAUAUAUAUAUAUAUAUAUAUAUAUAUAUAAAAAUAAAAAUAAAUAAAUUUGAUGAUAUCUUGUGUAAAUGUUAUAUAAAUAUAGCCAAUAUAGGCAACAAGUUAGCCACAUAUUGCACAUAUUAGUUAUUUGUUAUAUAAGCUAGUUAUUUGGUGCACAUAUUGAAAAAAGUCUUACUUCAAGAAUUGCUAAUCUCUUUAUAUUUGGCAAUAGCCACUGUACUUUCUAUCUUAUAUCCAUCUUUGAUUUAUUUAUUUAUUUAUUUUAAGUUCACAAAAGUGUACUACUUUUUUAGAAUUUUUCUAUGAUUUAUGUCCUUGAAAUUGAUGAGAAUUUAAAGAAUAUAAAAUUAAAGUAAAUUAAAUUAAAUUAAAUCAAAUACUUAUGUAAUGACAAAAAAAAAUAUCAUAGAUAAUUUAUUGUCCUUAAAUACAUUAAAUAUUCUAAAAAUAUAAUAAUAAAAUAUAUAUAUAUAUAUAUAUAUAUUAAAUAUUCUUAAAGUAUAAUAAAGAACACAUAGAAAGAAAAAAAAUAUAUAAUGUAGACACAUAAUUAAAGUGGUCGUCAGACUUGGGGGUCCACUUUGAAAGAUAAUGAUUCAAUCACAUUAUGAAAGUCUUUUGUUUGGUGUAAACAAAUCUAUUUUUUUGGAAAGCCCAACUUUUGAUAGAAGUAUUAAAGAAGAAUACACCAUUACAUUAUUGAAGAACAGUAAGUACUUACUUAGUUACAACCACAUAAAGUUUAAGCAUAGUAUAUUGCUAAUAGUAAAAAGACAGCAAAGAGGUAAAGUAAGUUAUUGUGGUACUACCGAGGCUUUAGUAAUAUGAGAUAGAAAUGGAUGUAAUAUCAAAUGGAUGGAAGUUGCCUCAUUGGUAGGCAAACCACCACCUAUAAGUAAAGAGUGUUGGAAGUAAGAAUUAUCUUCCUCCAUACUUCUCUUAGAGUACAAUCCUUGCUGAUGCUAAGUGUUUGUAGCCUUUAGACUUCUCUUUUUCAAUAGGUUAUGGGCCCACUCAUAUUUUCUUGAGUGUUUUUUUUUUUUUUGAAGUCUUUUAAGUAUUUUUGUAAGUAUGGAGUAGAUCAAGUUGUUGUAACUGAUGUUAGGCAUUAAAAGUACCUAACUUUCAUAUUUAGGUCUAGAACUAGAUCUUAGUUUGUUCUUACUUGUGGUUAAGAGCAUUUUAGUGUUGAUGGUUGGUUUAUCACAUAAAAUUGCUUGUUAUGCUUAAUAAGCCUCUUUUAUUAUAUAGAGGUGACUUGUGAGUAUAAAAGAGAUAUUAGAGUGAUGAUUUAGAUUUGGAAAGCUCACCAGACUUGUGAGAAGUCUUAGAAGUGAAGUUGAGAGUGUUUUUGAGAGUUAAAACACUAGUUUGUUCACAAAGAAGGAUUCUAGGAUUCUAAGGUAGCAUUUUUUUUUUUUUUUUUUUUUUUUUUUUUUUCAUUUUGAGAGCAUUAGGACUUCUUCUUACUAUCUUUUUUUGAUACAACUCUUCUUUAGACAUGGCUUCAAGUGAAGGUGAAGGAUUGAGAGUUAUUGAGAAGUUUAGAGGUAAAAAUUUCUACCAUUGGAAGGUCAAAAUAGAGCUUUUGUUGGUAUCUUUGGAUCUUUGGGAUAUUAUAGAUGAAAGUGAAGAGGCUCCAAGCAAAGAUGCUAAUAUGAAGGAGAAGAAUGAGUUCAAACAUCGUGAAAAGAAGGCUUUUGGAUUGAUUGCAACAAAUGUAGAUGAAGCCAACUUCUCUCACAUUAUCUUUUGCAAAGGACCAGUAGAAGCAUGGAAGACUCUUUGCAACAUCUAUGAGAGCAAGAACUUAUCCAUCAUCUAUACAAGGAGGAAGUUCUUCACUUGCAAGAUAGAAGAAGGUGAAGACCUCAUGACUCAUAUUAAUAAGGUAAAGGCUCUUACAAAUCAACUAGCAACUAUUGACAAGCCUUUAGAAGAAAGUGAUAUUGUCAUGAACUUGCUAAUGAGCCUUUCCAAAUCCUACAACUACCUUAUUGUGGCAUUGUAGUCCAUCAAGCUAAAAGAGCUUACAAUGGAUUAUGUGACGGCAAGACUUACCCAUGAAGUAACCAAGAAAAAAGAAAAGGAGCCUCAUAGUGAAGAUUCAGUAUUUUAUUCACGUCAAAGCAAAGGCAACUAUUCAAAUCAAGGAGGUAAUAUCAAAUCUUGCUUCAUUUGUGGCAAAAUAGGCCAUUUUGCUCGAAAUUGCUACAAAGGCAAAAAGAUAAAGAAGGAGAAUGCAAAUAGUAUGCAAGAUGAGUUUAGAAGACAAGAUUAUACAUUCACGGCAACAAAUGGGACCUCAAUGGCUACCAUGUCAAGAUGGAUUGUGGAUUCAGGUUGUUCCAAGCAUAUGACACCUUAUAAAUAUUCAUUUGAUAUUUAUGAAGCUAUUCCAGCAUGAAACGUGGUAUUGAUAAAUAGUGGUACAUGUGAAGCUAUUAGAAUUGGCUCUAUUAUGAUCGAGGUUGUUGUGAAUGGACAAACCAAUAGGAUCAGAUUCAAAAACAUCCUUCAUGUGGCUAAAAUGAAGCAAAACCUAUUUUCGGUGAGUAAACUUGUAAUGGAAGGUUUUAAAGUUCAAUUUGACAUGAAUGGAUGUUUUGUAAGAACAUUGAGUGGAGACAAGGUCUUCAAAGGCUUGAAAGAAGGAAAUUUGUACUACCUCAUUUGUAAGAAGGUGAAUGGACUAGAGGUAGCCGUAUUUGCUGAGUUUACAUCAAAUCAAGACAAGUUGAAUAUAUGGCAUCGUUGCCUUGGCCAUUUAAAUGUGAAGAGCAUGAAAGAGCUGAACACCAUGGUAACUGGCUUAGAUCUUGGCAAUACAAGCCAUAAUGCAAAAUAACUUACAUAUGAAGGAUGCAUACAAGGCAAACAAAAAAGGGCCUCAUUUCCAAAGAGUGUAGCAACACGUUGUCAUGUUGUGGUUCGGCUACUAUAUGAAAAUAAUGUAAUUAUAUACUUAAUAUAUAAUUUAUUAAGUAACAUGGUGAGAGCCAUGUUAGUAGAUUUUAGUUGGUUUUAGAAUAUAAUUUGAUUAUUACCUUGAAAAGAGGUUGUUUAAAAAAAUUACUAUAGAUUUUGUAUAACUUUAAUUUUCUUUUGAUAGUGGCUUUUAAGAUUGGUUUUGGUUGAUAGUAACUUCUAAAUAUUUAGAAUCACCUUUAUUAGACAUUGGUGACCUUUGAAAACUUCUUUUGGUUCUUCUAUUUGGUGUUUAGAGCAUAAAUUAUGUAAAUCUUAUAAGAAAAAUGAUUGAAGAAGGAUUUUGGUAGAAAUGAGAGUAAUUAGGGCACCAAUAUAGAUGAAUGGAGAUGAAUAAUGAAAAUCUCCAUUCCUAUUGGUCAAAAAUCAUGACCAAUGGGCUUUGAGGAGGCUACCCGAGGCCAUAUUAGGGAUUAGGGUUAAUUUCUCUCGAUUGAUUCGAACUUUUAAGGCUAGGGUCAGAAGGUUUAGGUUUUUGGCUAUGCUUUUGGUAUAAGUUUUGUGUCAUUUGGGGUUUUUAUGAAGAAGUUAUGGGCGCUCAAAGUUAAGGUGUUAAUUUUAGGACCUACUGUCACUCUUUAGGGCAUUUCGCACACAUACAAAUAGCAAACGAGAAUCGGCAAUAGGAGUUAGAGAGAGGACUUUUUUGGCUAUAAUUCAUGCCUAAUAUUUGUCAAAUUCUAAGCUUUAAUAAAGGAGAUAUUGGUAGUUGAAGUCAGUGCUUGGAAUCUAAGGGUAGUAAGUAGCCCGAUUUACUUGUACUUGUGAUUUGAGCUAUAUCUUAGACAAUUUGAUGAGGUUUUGACUCAAAAUUUCCAAGAUUGUGUAUAAUCUUGUUAUAAAGCUUUAUACAUAAGUUUUGUGGAUUUUAGAGUUUGGAUUUUUGAGAUAUAGAGAAAAUAGUUUAUGGGUGCUUGUAAGUUACGGUUUUGUACACCUAUUAGGUUUUCUAAGAUUCUGAAAGAUCGGUGAUAUAUGUAUGAUUCAUUUUUGUUGUGAUAAGGGUUAAGAAUAGCAUAUAUCUUAUGUAGAAAUUUAAAACAAACUGAACGGUUGGAUCGAGAUAUAUGAGAUCCUAAAGUCUGAUAUGAAAAGGUCUUUGCGGGAAGAAAAAUAUUUUGAAGGAUUUUAAUAUAUUUUGAGUUUUUAUACAAAGAAAAGAGGAUUUUGGGAGUUAAGGCAUAAUAUACAAGUGAAACCUAAACUCUCUACAGCUAGAUACUCAGUGUAUUCCCAGAUAGCAAAUCACACUGUCGAGGUAGAGAGAGUUUGCCUCAAGAAAGUGCUAGGCUUCUGGCUGUCACUAAAUACUCAAUCAAGUUUGAAAUAUAAGGGUAAAAAUUUUAUAUAUAUAAAAUCCUCUCCUUUGGAGCAAUUACAUCAAUAUACAAGCCUUAAAAUCCAAAGAACACCAAAAUACUUGAUAAGGUGUUAUAAAAAACUUAUAUAUCCUUAUGAAGAAUUUUUCCCAAAGUUCAACAGCUUAUAACAUACGAUCUAAUCGUCUAAACAACUCCAAAUUUUACAUGGAGUACUGAUAUAUCUUUAGCAACUACCACACCAAAAUUUAACCGUAAAUUCGUCUUGGAUCUUGUGAUAUCUUGAAAAUCCUAACUGUAGCUUCAAACCCUAGCUUUUUUACACCCGUGUACAACUUCCUUCAUAUUUCACAAAGAAAUUAUUCAAAUACUAUGAAACUUUGAUCUAAAGCUUCUUAACCCAAUUACACACACUUGUGGAAAUUUUGAGCCAUAAAUUCGUCCAGAAACUCAAGAUAUGGCUUCAACCAUAACUAGCAACAAAACGAUAUACUUACUGCCUUCAAACUACAAGUGCUGUCUUCAACGCCUCAUAACUCCUUCACCCAAUCUUAGAAUUCACUAUACAGUAAAUAGAAUGUGUAGCCGAAAAAAUACUCCCUCCAAAUCUAGUCGCCGAUCUUCCGUUGCUCUCCGUAUUCGUAUGUGAUGCCCAAAAGAAGUGACAGUAGGUACGAAAUUGACACCUUAUCUUUGAACAUUCAUAUCUUUUCCAUAAAAAUUCGAAAUCACACAAAAUCUUCACCCAAAUUAUACCCAAAACCCUAAACCUUCUGACCCUAGCCUCAAAAGCUCGAAUGGCCUCGAAAGAGGAACCCUAAUUCCUAAUAUGGCCUCGGGCAGCCUCCUCAAAGCCCAUUGGUCAUGGUAUUCGACCAAUAGGGAUGAAGUUCUUCACCCCUUGCCUUCAUCCAACCAUGCCUUACUUUCAUCCUUUCCAAUAAGCCUCCUUCUAGUUAUAUUUUCAUCUUUUAACUCCUCCCUUCCCUUAAUCUUUAUACUAACUAUCUAAAUCCUAUAUAAUAUAAACUCUAUAAUCAAACUAGAUUAACUUCCAAAUAAUUUUUCUUAUUUCAAUUCAUUUUAAAUUAAUAUACUAACUAUUCUAACUCACAUUAAGACUUAUAAAUAUAUUACAUGUUUUCACUAAUUUUUACAUAUUGUAAGUAAUUACAGUACGACAACGCCAUACGACAACGUGCUACGAAGUUGCUAGAGAUUGUCCAUUCUGAUGUAUGUCAACCUAUGAAAAACACAAGUAUUGGAGGAUCAAGAUAUUUCCUCACCUUCAUUGAUGAUUAUUCAAGAAAGAUUUGGAUCUAAAUUCUUAAAGCCAAGAGUGAAUGCUUUUGGAGGUUUAAGGAGUUUAAAGCACUUGUUGAGAAACAAAGUGAAUGCAAGAUCAAAGGUGUUACAUAUGGACAAUGGAGGUGAGUACAUGUCUAAGCAAGUUGAUGUUUAUUUGAAGAAUGAAGGAAUUUCUAAACAAACCUCAACUCCAUACACUCCACAACAAAAUGAUAUUGUUGAAAGGACAAAUCGAACCAUCGUAGAGAUGACAAGGAGCAUGCUUCAUGCUCAAAACCUUGGCUUUGAAUUUUGGGCGGAAGCUGUAGUGAAUGCAAUAUAUACAAGAAAUAGAUGUCCAACAAGUGCUCUUGCAUCAAUGACACCACAAGAAGCUUGGAGUGGGAGACAACCUUGCAUUUCCCAUAUGAGGACCUUUGGUUGCAUUGUAUAUGCAAAAACACUAGAUUGUAUGAGGUCUAAACUUGAUGCAAAAGGUACAAAGUGUGUGUUUCUUGGUUAUUGUGAAGGUAUUAAGGCAUAUAGGCUAAUGUGCUUGGAAACCAAGAAGAUCAUCAGAAGUCAUGAUGUUGCAUUUUUGGAGCACAAGAAUGCUUGUGAGCAUUUGGAGAUGUGUCCAAGUGGGAGUAAUGGUGUGUUUGUGGACACAUCUUUCAAUUCAACAAAGAAACAAGAAGAUGACAUCAAUAACGAUGAAAAGCCAAAGCAGGUUGAAAAGAUAAAGGCUCAUACAAUUAAAAGGACCAGCAAUGAAACAAAUGAAGAUGUUGAAGAUUGGGAUGUUGAUAAUGAUGAAGAGUAGUAACCAUUGAAUGAGAAACAACAAGAUUUAAAAGUUAGAAAAGAACAAAGAGUAGAACAAGGUGAAUGUUCUUCAAUCAAUGAAAAGAGAUAUCCAUUGAGAGAAAGAAAGCAACGUGGCGAAUGGUGGAAGGAUCACAUCUUCUCUCAAGUAAAAAAAAGAACAUAUAAAUGUUGUUCUUCUUGCUGAUCCAUUAUCUUUGUGUGAUGCUAUGAAGUGUGAAGAUGCAAUCAAGUGGGAGAAGGCUAUGGAAGAAGAGUAGCAAUCUCUUAUAGACAACGGUACAUGGAAAUUGGCACCUCUUCCAACAAAUCGAUCUAGUGUUGGUUGUAAAUGAGUGUUUAGGACUAAAAGAGAUGCAAUGGAUGUGGUGGUGAGGCACAAGACAAGAUUGGUUGCCAAAAGAUACUCACAAGUUGCUGGAAUUGAUUUCAAUGAGACUUAUGCAUCCGUUGCCAAAUUCACCACCAUUAGGACCAUUGUAGCAAUUUAAGUAGCAAUGGAUUUGAAAAUACACCAAAUGGAUGUAAAGACGGCCUUUUUGAAUGGAGAAUUGUAAAAAGACAUCUACAUGGAUCAACCUCAAGGAUUUGUACAACAAGGCAAAGAACAUCUUAUUUGCAAAUUGAAGAAAUCUUUAAAUAAAUUGAAACAAUCACCAACGGCAUGGUACCAACGAAUUGACACCUUCUUUAUCAAUGAAGGAUUUGUAAGGAAUGAAGUUGAUCAUUCAUUGUAUGUGAUGCAAUCUAGAAAGUUCUUGCUGAUUGUAAUCCUCUAUGUUGAUGAAUUGAUCAUCUUGGCUAACAAUUGUCACGGACAUAAUCAUGUAAGCUAGUAAUUACAUAUACAAAUAGGUAGAAGUAAAUAAAUAUAGAUAAAAGUAAGUUAAUUCUAUAGUAUUUAAUAUGGAAACUUCAUAAAAGCUUCAUAGACGUUGCUUUGACUUCAUAGGUGUCUUUAAUUUGUUUUUUGGAUUAGAAACGUGGUCAACAAGUUGGCCAUGUGCCACACAUGUUGUUAGCUUGAAGAUCAAGCUAACAAUGUGGUCCACACGUAGAAAAACUUACAUUGUAAGUCAAGGCAUGUGUCCUACAAAGUCAACACAUAUUGGAAGUCCUAAAGAACACUGCCAUGUAGCCCCUAGUUAGAUAGUAUAUAUAGAGACAAGAGUGAAGGCUUCUUCACUCUUGUCAACUCCUUUCUUGAUUCUAGUCUAGUUUCAAAGAUCUCUAGUUUUCUUGUCUUUUGGCAAUAGCCAUUCCAAUUUCUCUUUCAAUAUAUAUACUUGUUUAUAUAUAUUUUGUUACCUCUCUUUGAGUGAAGGCUCACUUGUCUGAAUUGUUUUUUCAUCGAGUUUUUAUCUUUGACAGAUUGACAAGAAUAUACCUACAAUAUCAGAGCUUUGUCUAAUCUUGAUUAAGAGUGGAUUACCCCUUUUUUCUUAAUAAGAUAUAAGCAUACUAGAAGUUACGGAUUACCCUCUUUUAAAUUGAUAUUGUCCUUAGUAUUUUCUUUGUUCUCAAGUCCUCUCUUCUAUUUUUCUUGAGUGAUAUUAGACAUCUUCUCUCUUCUAAGUAUUAUCAUGGCAGAACUUCUUGAAAUGAAGAGUGCAAUGGCACAAAUGCAAGAGCAAUUGAGGGAGUUAAUGCUUGCGAUGCAUCAACUCAAUUUACCACCACAAAGAGCAACAAGAUUGGCAGGAAGUGAAGAUAUAGAAAUGGUUGGAACUGCUUCAACAUUUGCACCAAACCAUGUCCUUUCUCCUAUGAUGGAACGUCCUUCAAAUGUUAGAGAACCAAGAAUUGCCCUACUCGAGAAGUUUGAUGGCACUAGAUCCAAGUUUCGAGGAUUUAUCAAUCAAGUGCAACUUAUGAUUGAACUUCAAUCCCACAGCUAUCCAACUCCAGGAUCGCAAGUUGAAUUCAUUGUUACGCUUCUUUCAGGUUCAGCACUAUCGUGGUUUUCAUCUUUUCUUGAACGACGAGAUCCAAUAUUGGAUAAUCUAGAAGCUUUUUUGGCGGAGUUUCGAUCCAUGUAUGGAGAACAUGAUGCAAUUCGUGUUGCAACUAAUAAGAUCCGUAUUUUACGACAAGACAAUCGAUCAGUAACGUUAUAUGCUUCACAAUUUUGACAACUUGCACCUGAUAUCAAGUGGGAUGAUGCUGCACUUAUUAGCCAAUUUUUCUAUGGAUUAUAAUACGAGGUAAAAAAAUUAAUGCUCAACUUACCUAAUCCUCAAACAUUGAGUCAAGCAAUUGACUUUGCUGUGAAGUGUGACAAUCGCCUUUUUGAAUUUCGAUGUGAGAACCAUACAAGUAGACCUCAACGUUACUAUAAUUCAAUGGCAACACCAACACUUCUUCAACACAUACAUUCGAAAGUAGAGGAUAUGCAAAUUGAUGCAGUACGUUUCAAACCUCUUACUGAGCAAGAAAAGACUCGUCGUGGUCAAGAAGGAAUAUGUUUAUAUUGUGGAGAAUCAAAGCACACUGCUCAACAUUGUCCAAAGAAACGACGCAAUCACAAAAUGAGGAGUAUGACUGUGAAAGAAGACAAUAUAUCGGUGUCGUGUUGUAACACGAGUAUACCGUGAAAAUAUAAAGAAAGGGGACUUUUAUUAAUGUUCAGUUACCUCGAAUAUUGGAAGCAACGACCAACUCCAAUGCAAAUACUGAGUGGCCAGGUUCAGUCACCCCGUUACAGUCAGCCGGGGCAUACUGAAAUGCUCCGUUCGAUUCCAAUAACGGGAGUCAGUAGGAAGAGAAAGGACCAAUUCACACGACGGGUGAGCUUGGUUCGAAGAGCCAAUUGGAUCCUAUUCUCUCCUUAGAGCCCUCUCCUUGUUUUAUAUUAAAUAUUAUUUUAGGACCUAAACAUUACAAAGUCUCUGCCUUGUUAGAUUCAAGAGCCUUAGCGUGUUUUUUAGAUGAAGAAUUUACUAAAAGACAUAGCAUAUCUUUAGUAAAGAAAACUAAACUUGUUCAUGUAGAAGUCAUAGGUGGUCGUCCAUUGUCUUCUGGAGAUAUUACUCACGAAACCCUUCCUAUAGAAGUAAUAAUCAAUGGUCAUAAUAGUUUUGUAGUAUUUAAUAUCAUUAGAUCUCCCUCUAAUCCAGUCAUUUUAGGUUUAUCGAGGUAAGAAAAAUACAACCCUCAAAUAGAUUAGAUUUUUUGAACUCUUACUUUUUCUAAAAGUAUAACUAUCAGUGUAGUUAAUUAAGUCGAGAGUCAUAAGUCCAGUUCAAUUAAACCCGUAUUUAUAGGUGCAAAAGCUUUCUUGCAUGCUGCUAUGAAAGAAUCACCAUAUAUUAUUUAUGCCACACGCAUUUCUACUGGUGAAAAGACUUCAAGUGGCAUUCCAAGCCAAUAUCAAGAAUUUCAAGAUGUAUUUGAAAAAAAGAAUGCGGAUACACUCCUAGAACAUCGUCCCUAUGAUUGCUCAAUUGACCUUCAAGAAGGAGCACAACCGCCAUUCGGACCAAUCUACAGUUUAUCACAAAAUGAGUUGGCUGAACUCAAGGAGUAUAUUGAAGAAAAUCUAGCCAAGAAUUUCAUACGCCAUUCUAAAUCUCAGGCAGGAGCUCCAAUUCUAUUUGUGAAGAAAAAAGAUAGAUCAUUGCGGAUGUGUGUUGAUUAUCAAGGACUCAACAAGAUUACCAUCAAGAACAGGUAUCCACUACCUUUAAUAUCUGGACUUCUUGAUCAGCUGAAUCAAGCUAAGAUCUAUACAAAAAUAGAUCUUCGGAGAGCAUACAAUCUAGUACACAUCAAAGAAGGAGAUGAAUGGAAGACUGCGUUUCGAACUAGGUAUGGACAUUUUGAAUACAACAUCAUGCCUUUUGGACUUACAAAUGCACCAACAGCUUUUCAACAUCUAAUGAAUGAUGUUUUUUGAGAGUUUUUGGACGAUUUUGUGGUCUGUUAUCUAGACGACAUCUUGAUCUAUUCUUAGAAUCCAGAAGAACAUGAACUUCAUGUUCGUCGUGUGUUACAAAAAUUAAGAGAUGCAGGAUUCUAUACCAAGAUAGAAAAGUGUGUAUUCCACACUAUUCAAGUUGAUUUCUUAAGUUACAUCAUUUCAAAUGAGGGACUUAUGAUGGAUCCUAAGAAAGUUCAAACUAUUAUAGACUGGAAGAUACCAAAAACGGUAAGAGAUGUUCAAUGUUUUUUGGGAUUUGCCAACUACUAUCGGAUCUUCAUCAAAGACUUCUCUCGAGUUGCAGCUCCACUUACACGUUUGACUUGUAAAGACAAACUCCAAUGGAAUCAAGAAGCGGAAGUUGCUUUUGAAUCUUUGAAGACAGCGUUUGUUUCUGCACCAAUCUUGUAUCGUGUUGAUUUUUCCAAAGCAUUCUUUAUAGAAACAAAUACAUCAGACUUUGCUCUAGGUGCGAUUUUAUCACAAAUGGGAAUAGAUGACAAACUUCAUCCACUAGCCUUUCAUUCAAGAAAAUUCUCAAUAGCAGAAAUCAAUUAUGAGAUCCACGAUAAAGAACUUCUUGCAAUUGUGGAUUCUUUUCAAGAAUGGCAUCAAUAUGUAAAAGGCGCUUCUAGUCCAGUCACCAUGUAUACAGAUCACAAGAAUCUCGAAUAUUUUAUAUCAGCAAGCGUAUUAAAUCGUCGCCAAGCUUGUUGGAGCAUGUCUUUAUCAAGAUUCGAGUUCAUCAUUACUUAUCGGCCAGAAAAACAACAAGGUUUGUCCAAUGCCUUGUCUAGACAUUCUUAUCUUACACCAAAAGAAGGUGAUGUAGCUUUUGAGCAACAAAGAACGGUUCUCUUGAAGUCGGAGCCAUUUCAUCUUCGAGCAAUAAAAUAAACAUUGACUAUUGAUUUAACUUUUUUCAAGCAAGUCCAAUUAAGUAUGUCUUCAGACCUUCUUGUUCAUGAUAUCAAGAAUAAUUCUUCUAAAUCUCAUUAUCCCUCUAAAUUUGAAUUCAAGAACAACCUACUCUAUUUUGAAGGACGCCUAUAUGUUCGAAAAGGAGAAGCACGUUUACGUGUUCUUCAAGUUUGUCACGACUUCCCAGCAAUAGGACAUUUUGGAUAUAAUAAGACUUUGGAGCUGAUAUCUAGGGAUUUUUGGUGGCCUCAAAUGUGGAAGGCAGUUAAAGAUUUUGUACAAUCAUGUGAUAUUUGCUCAAGAUCGAAAACUCCUCGUCAUCGACUUUUUGGACUUCUUCAGCCAUUAUCCAUUCUAGAACAAUCAUGGUCUUCUAUUUCUAUGGACUUCAUCACGGAUCUUCUAAUCUCAGGUUCUUAUGACUCUAUAUUCAUGAUAAUAGAUCAUUUUACCCAGAUGGCACAUUUUGUACCAUGUAAAAAAUCUAUUACAGGUAAAGAAACAGCUAAGCUCUUUCUUGACAAUAUCUAUCGCUAUCAUGGAUUAUCCAAAGAUAUUAUAUCAGAUAGGGGAACUCAAUUUGUAUCAAGAUUUUGGCGGACUCUUUUCAAGAUUCUUAAAGUGGAUAUAAAACUAUCUUCGACAUUCCAUCCUCAAACUGAUCGACAAACAGAGCGUGUUAAUCAAGUUUUGGAGCAAUAUUUAAGAUGUACCAUUAAUUACCAAUAAGAUGAUUGGACAACUCUUUUGCCAUUGGCAGAGUUUGCUUACAAUAACACGAUACAUUUUUCUACAAAACAAACACCUUUCUUUGCUAAUUAUGAUUACCAUCCACAACUUGAUAUUUUUGACUUUUCAAAAGUUGAUAAUCCUGCUGCGAAAGAUUUGGUAAUUCAUUUAUCAGAGCUACAUGCAACAAUGAAGGCGCAGUUAAAAGAGGCUCAAGAACAACAAAAGGUCAAUGCGGAUGUCUAUCGAAAGGAACAACCAUCAUUCAUCUUGGGUGAUAAGGUAUGGCUACUUCGUCGUAAUAUCAAGACCACUCGUCCUUGUGACAAAUUGGACUAUCGAAGGCUAGGACCAUUUUCUAUUUCUGCACAAAUCAAUCUAGUUGCAUAUCGUUUACAUCUACCGGAGUCAAUAAAAAUCCAUCAUGUAUUCCACGUGUCUCUUCUUGAACCAUACAAGUUAGUGGACAUACCAAAAAGACAACAAGCUCCACCUCCUCCUAUAGAAGUGGACAAUAAUGAAGAGUUUGAAGUAGAAGAAGUCUUAGAUUCAAGGCGGCGCCGAAAUAAAUUAGAAUAUCUUGUCCAUUGGCACGGAUAUGGUAUUAGUGAACGCACAUGGGAGCUAAUAAAGAAUCUUACAAAUGCAGCAAAGGCGGUGGAGGCUUUUCAUCGACGACAUCCAUCAAAAUCAAGAUAAAAACCUUCUUUAUAAAAGAAACAACAUUUAGGCAAGAUAACAUUCUACUUUCAAUUCUUGUUCGUAGCUUCUUUAUAGUAGUGACGCUUAGGAGAUGGAGAACCAAUAACCAGCAGAUUCGACUCAAGAACCUUCAUUUGCUGACCUGCUGAACGAGACAUUACGAUUGUCACAACCUUCAAGAUGACGCAAUCGAGAUGAAGAUCUUCAAGAACGACAUGUUCUUCCUCGAAUAGAUGGCGAGAUACAACGCGUUUGGUAUCACAAUUUGGGAAGGGACUCCCGAUGUUUGGUGAUUAUACUAGAGGUAGGAACAACUCCUGAUGGUGCUCCAAAUAUUCUAUUCGAAAGAAGUUACGAAGGUCUCAACAAUGAUUAAAUAACUGGGUGGUCUUCCCGCCCUAGUAUGGGACACUACCGACGGUUGAGUGGCCCUAUCAAUCAUCUUCAAAGAGAACAAAGAUCAGAGUAUGUGGUAAAUACAAUUCAUCACAUCAUAGAUUUCCUCAACAUAUGAUGACCGCUCCUUGUGGAACUCGUCCCUAGAAGGGGAGAUAAUGUCACGGACAUAAUCAUGUAAGCUAGUAAUUACAUAUACAAAUAGGGAGAAGUAAGUAAAUAUAGGUAAAAAUAAGUUAAUUCUAUAGUAUUUAAUAUGAUAGCUUCCUAGAAGCUUCAUAGACGCUGCUUUGACUUCAUAGGUGUCUUUAAUUGAUUUUUUGGAUUAGAAACGGGGUCAACAAGUUGGCCAUGUGCCACACAUGUUGUUAGCUUGAAGAUCAAGCUAACUAUGUGGUCCACACGUAGAAAAACUUGCCUUGUAAGUCAAGGCAUGUGUCCUACAAAGUCAACACAUAUUAGAGGUCCUAUAGAACGUCGCCAUGUAGCCCCUAGUUAGAUAGUAUAUAUAGAGACAAGAGUGAAGGCUUCUUCACUCUUGUCAACUCCUUUCUUGAUUCUAGUCUAGUUUCAAGGGCCUCUAGUUUUCUUGUCUUUUGGCAAUAGCCAUUUUAGUUUCUCUUUCAAUAUAUAUACUUGUUUAUAUAUAUUUUGUUACCUCUCUUUGAGUGAAGGCUCACUUGUCUGAAUUAUUUUUUCAUCAAGUUCUUAUCCUUGACAACAAUAUGGAAAAGAUGGAUUGAUUGAAGGCCAAAUUAGAGAAGGAAUAUGAGAUGAGUGAUUUGGGAGAGUUGCACUAUUGCUUGGAAGUAGAAUUUGUAAGUGAUCAUGGUAACAAGACGAUUGCAAUGAGUUAAACCAAGUACAUUGAAGAAGUAUUGAAACGAUUCAAUAUGGAGGAGUGCAAGCCUAUUGGAACACCCUUGGAGGCAAAUUUGAAGUUGAUGAAGUUCACUGAUGAGGAGUUUACACAAGUUGAAGGUGAGAUGCAAAGUAUUCCAUACAAAGCAGCAGUAGACUCACUCAUGUAUGCAAUGGUGGCUACAAGAGUGGAUCUUGCAUAUGCGGUGAGUGUUGUAAGCCAAUACAUGUCUAAGACUAGACCAAUGCAUUGAAAAACGGUAAAGAGGAUUUUGAGGUACUUAAAAGGUACAAAAGACUUCAAAUUAUGUCUUGGUAGUAAGAACAUUGACUUACAAGGUUAUUGUGAUGCGGAUUGAGUUGAAGAUGUAAAUGAUAGAAGAUCCACAACGGGAUAUGUAUUCUUUAUUGGAGUGGGAGCUAUUUCAUGGAAUUGCAAGAGACAAUCUACUAUUACAAGAUGAACGAUGGAGGCAGAGUACAUGGCAGCAAGUCAUUGUGCAAUGGAUGUGUAUUGGAUAAGGCAACUCUUAGAAGACAUUGGUCUAGUGCAACUAGAAGCAAUCCUCAUUAUGUGUGAUAAUCAAGGAUGUCUUGCAUUUGCUAAGAAUCCAAAAUACCACUCAAGGAUCAAGCAUAUUGAUGUUUAACAUCAUUUCAUACAAGAGAAGAUUGAAGAUGGAAUAAUAGGUAUGAAGUAUUGUGCUACAAAUGACAUGCUUGCUCAUGUGCUUACAAAGGCAUUAGUCAAGGAUAGACAUCAUGACUUGAUUCAGAGAUUAGGAUUAAAAGCUUUUUGAAUAUUAGUAAAGUGGGAGUGUUGAAGAACAACGAGUACUUGCUUAGUUACAAUCACAUAAAGUUUAAGCAUAGUAUGUUGGUAAUAGUAAAAAAGCAGCAAAGAGGUAAAGUAAGUUAUUGUGGUACUACCAAGGCUUUAGUAAGAUGAGAUAGAAAUGGAUGUAAUAUCAAAUGGAUGGAAGUUGUCUCGUUGGUGGAUAAACCACCACCUAUAAGUAAAGAGUGUUGGAAGUAAGAAUUAUCUUCCUCCACACUUCUCUUAGAGUACAAUCCUUGUUGAUGCUAAGCGUUUGUAGCCUUUAGACUUCUCUUUUUCAAUACACAUGAGCCAAAUUACUUUACUAUUAAAUAUAAAAUAUAAUAGCUUAUAUCAAGAUUGUGAAAAUUAUAGAGAACAUUAAAAAGAAUCAAAAGUAAUAAUUUAAUGAAUGUUUUUAGCUUAAUUUGAUACGACCUCUUAAGUUUUUUCAAAAAGCACCACUUGAUGUGGGUCCAACACAAACUUCAAGAAACAAUACUAUUCCAGUCACAUUAAUAGAAAAGUCCCUUCCACCUCGUAUUUGUCUCCUUGUGAUUUCAUUAUUGAUUUUUUUUGGUUCAAAACUAAUUAAGGUGUGCUUCUUAAUUCAACCAAUCAAAUUCUUUGAAAAUUGUGGCUUCUAGCUUUCUCCAGUAUACUUACGAAAAACUCCUAAGUAUCAAAAUAAGCAGGAUUUUGAUACUUAUCAAUAAACUCCAUGGAUUGGCUGAGUGGUAUGUGUUAGAGCAACUUAGCAGUUGGCUGGCUGAUCAGGUGGCAAAGAGUGAUCUAUGUUUCUCGUGAUGUUUGUUGCUUAUGGGUCGUGUUCCUGGCGCUGUCCUUCUGCUGCUCCUCCUCCACAGUCCAACACCAACAACAACAUAUGGUAGCGGUGUUAUCUUUCUGCAACAUGGUCACUGAUGAGCUGAAUCCGUAGUGGGCCCUGGUAGCAUCAUAAUUCCAGCUAAUGACAUCGAAUCCAGGAUAUUACACACACACACUUCUUAUCCACAAAUAGUGUCCGUUGCUUCUGCGGCUGUUGCGGCGGUUUUUUUAUCGGCCCAUUAUCGCGUUAUUUCCUGCUGCGACGGUGCUUUCUCGUGUUUGUGAAUGCUAGUUCCUGACAAUUCUCUGCUCUCAUGGGACACCACGAUAGUCUAGCUUUCAGGAUUGAGAGGAUCAGCGAGUUGCAAUCGUAUUGAGGCUGUUGUAGCUGGAUGGGCAACGUAACCGCCAACGUCACACGCCGCCCCUGAUACUCAACCACAGUAUAAAUAGUGCUUGGAGACGGCGUGUUGAAGUAUUUCGAAGCCGAAGUAUGUAUCACUUCGUGUAAACCUACCAUUGGCAUUCGGAUCAGUGUGUAGAAUGCAUCAGUUAGCUAGUAAGGGUUCGGCGUGGAACACCGCCGCUUGGGUGUGGAAGGAUCACAUAGAAUUGUAGCCGUUGUCAACGAUUUCUAGAAUGGCGACAUUGGGAUAUGAAGCUCAGAGUUGGAAAGAAGGAAUUCUGGUGGGACACCUCCUGGUUUUUAUCGCUGCAGCCUACUGCUAUUGGAUAGUUAGAAGAUUCUCAUUAGGGUUUCCUCGCCUCGUCGCGUCCACUCCAGCAUUGGCAGUGUAUACACUCGUACCCUUUAUUUGGAGCCACGACACUCAUCUAACUGGUGUAGGUUGUUUCUACUGCAUAGUCACAUGGAUAGCUUCGUUCAAGGUGUUGCUUCUCUGCUGGGGUACUGGUGCUGGGUGUGACCCCUGGGUAGAACCAAUCUUCCCGAGGUUUGCAAUUGUGAUGAUGUAUCCUGCUCACGUGAAGCAGACUGGAAAAGUGGUGAAGCGCGUCCCUGUGAAGUACUCUUCACUGAUAGAUUACGUCUCCAAGUCGGAGACAUGGUAUAUGCUUUUUGCCAGAUCUGUAGUCAAAUCCGUCGUACUGGCUUUACUGCUGCAAAUAACUGUGUCAAGUCUAGACACCCUCCCGUUGAUUGUCCUCCACCUUCUAACAACGCUCCAGUUAUAUCUCUUUGCAACGACUUUGCUCGAAGUUCUGGCUGCAGUGGCAAACUUCUUCUUUGGUGUCACGAUCGAACCCCACUUCGAUAAUCCAUUUGUCUCAGUCUCGCUCCAAGAGUUCUGGGGUCAGCGGUGGAACCUUCUUGUGAGCAGCUGCCUCAGGGAAACAGUGUACAAUCCCGUUCUACACCUUCUACAGCGUUCUGAUGAUAAGCCGGAAACGUCUGACCAGGCUCUGUCCACCAACCUGGCUGAGUCGGAAGAUCUAUUUCUAACGCGCCGCUCCAAAAGAUCCUCUGGAGUAACUAACACAGAUUUUUCAAAGGCUCAAGGGGCUAGGCGAAAGUUCGACUUAGAUAAAUUAAUAGCACUGCUUGCGUCGUUCUUGGUGUCUGGAAUAAUGCAUGAGGGGGCAGUAUACUAUAUGACUUGGAAUGCUACGUGGCGGAUGACAAGCUUCUUCGUCGUUCAUGGGGUGGCCGUUGCCUUGGAGACAGCUUGGAAAAUUCAAUACCCUAAGACAAGGCCGUCAAGGGUUGUCUCUACGCUUCUCACGUUAAGCUUUACUUUUAUAACAGCGCAUUGGUUGUUUUGGCCACCAGUAGACUGCAAAAUUGCCAUCAUAUCUUCGGAACUGCUGAAUCUUCGGUUCUGAUGCGGCAUUUAUCUCGAUGCAGUAGGUGUGUCGAUCACUUGUGAUGAUGUCGAAGGUGAUGUACAACACAAGUUCUUCAACAUUGUAUCCAGGCAAUGAAUUCCUAGAAAACAAGGGUGACGUCGAAAGACUAUUGACUAGUCCAAGUAGCUAGAAAGUGUGCAGAUAGAGUUCGAACAUUACUUUUCAACAAUUUAGGACACAAAAACCAUGACAAGGAGAUGAGACUAUACUCCAACAAAAGUAUUACUCAAUCGAAAGAAAUAUCUUUGUUUCAGAAGCCAAAGAUAUCCAUCAGUAUGAAUGCAUCUCAUGUGAACUAAAACUGGCUCACCAUUGGACCACGAUGACCACAAACCGUCCGAUGCUGAAGGACGUAGAUAUGACUACAGCUACUGCACCGUAUUCCAGCGUUGAAUUGGACAUUGUGCAAAACCACGGGUGCUGUAGAAAACUUGCGUAUAGAGUGUCUGACCGGAACCACGUCACAGAUUUGAUUCUCGCCUAUUGUAGGCAAUUUAUUGAUUCUUCUCGCAGUGUUGUACAACAAACUCUUUUGUCACAUGCUGGCUUGUACAACAUGCCCUUUACCAUGGUCGUAAAAUCUAGUACCAAUUCUAAAGUAUUGGUCGUCAGGCAUCACUCCAGGGUGACGAAGAACCAACGCUUUGAUACCCAUCGUACACUCAGCACCUAUCUAAAAGCCAAAGAUGCUGAGGUUUGCAGAGUUGUACAGCGUUAGUUUCGGCUUUGCAGAGUUGUACAGCCUUAGUUUUGGCUUUGCAGAGUUGUACAGCCUUAGCCAAAGAUCCGACCGUAAAACCAUUUCGGAUGUGUACAGGUGGACUUAAAUGCAAACAGAAAGUUCAUUAAAAAGUUUCAGUGUGUGGGCAGUUUGAUUUUUCUUAUUUUUUAAACUUGUUGGGAAUUCAGUAAACAUAGGUGAAAAGACAUUCCUGUGCAGUCUGAACCUAAUUAAUCAUCAGGUUCGUUAACUGACGGUGUUCCGUGCACCCAGAAAAUGCACUCAUUAAGUAGUCUUAUCCUGAUCUCUUGAAAUACCGAAGAGAAAUACCAAAGCUACAUGAAUACCAGUGCUCACAACAAAAGCACUUGCAUUGAUCCAAAGCUUACAAACCUCAACUUUCUUACAGCUCACAUGAACGAAGGAUUGUGACAUAGCGCCAUAUUAGAAAGAAUAACCGCCACGUUACAAUUGCCUAGUUCAUUUCUACCGAAAUUCUCAGAGAUAUGGAAGAUGCUGAGAUUUGCAGAGUUGUACAGCCUUAGUCUCUUGGACUCCACUCCAAUGGAAAAUUCACUAAUACCGCAGAAGAUCCCAGAAAUUGGAACACUAGGAUAAACGAUUCAACCAGGGGAGGUUCGUCAAGUUAAAGCGAAACAGGUUUACACGCAAGGUUUAGUCAAAAAAUAGAUGCACGUUGUAGUUGUGCCUGUGAGGACCUUUACCCUUCGGAUUUGUGUCUUGUUGAGGUCUUAAUGGUGAAUUGAAUGCGGUUUUGUAGAUACUUAUAAUUUUGGUGAUACUUAGGUGACAUGCACUGUUUCGUUAUUUUUUUUUAAUCAUUUUUGUUGGUAGAAGAUAAUUCAGACGUCUGUCCAAAUUGUUGUCCAAUUAGUGAUUGUAUUUUUGGCUGUGGUUGUUUGUUGGAAUGUAUUGCAUUUGAGGCUUUCCUAGACCAAAGAUAAGGAAGACUAGAAUGCCGGUUAGUAGACUUUGUUGGAAAUGCAUCUUUGCUAGGAUCCUUGUACUUAGUUCUGCAAAUUGGAUCUUAGAAAAGAUCGCACUAGAAUGGUGUGUGUUGAAGAGAUGAAUUUUUAUGUGGUGUUGUAUGUAGCAUCAUUUGUUGUAAGUGCCUAUUUGUGUUAAUUCCCUUGAUCUUGUAUAAAGUGAUUCGUUGACUAUGAAUUCCACUUAAUUUAGGAGUCCCUGAGUGAACAUAUAUGACUAGCCAAAAGCAAGACACUUUAACAAUCCUCUGAUUUCUUGUCUUUGAAUUUGAAUGUUCAUACACAUCACUUUGCCUUGAUUAGACCAUUCUAGCUAUAAACACUUGGUUUUGUUCUUUGUAUAAGAUCAAAAAAUGUAAAAGGCCAUGUAGUCUAUUUGUCUAUAAAAUUCUAAGACAUUUAAAAGUAUACAAAUUUCUAAUUCCAAGAUUCGAGCUCAAUGGUUCUUUAGUUGAUGUAGUUAUUUUAUUGAUUUAGAUCAAUUGAUCAUUUAUGUCUUUGCAAGUGAAUUUGGCCAGUUUUCAUAACCAAUGCCAUCUUGAACUUUGACUAUUACACAGAGAUCUUGGAUACUAAAACAAAAGGACAUGCUUUUUUAAAAACUCAAAUUAUGAAGUUGAACUUAUUUCAAUUGAAGUAUCUGAACGAAAAGGUCAAAGAAACAAAGUCCUUUCUACUGAAUAAAUAGCACAUACUCCUUUCUAUAUACAAUGGAGACAACAGCCAAUGCAAAGCUUUGAUAUACAUACAUUUCAUAGUGAUGCAAGCCGCAAAGAUUAUAUAAGAUUGCUGCUGCGAGAGAGAGUUAUGGCUGCAACUGGCGAUCAUUCUAGCACAUGUCAAAGAGCAUAUUUUAGAUAUUGUAGUGGAUUUAGGAUGGUAGAGGUCAAUGGUCCAUAUUGAAAAUACCUCAGUGACGUGGAUGCAAAAAUGGAAAUUGAUUAGAAGCAGGAUUGAUGGAAUGUACAAAAUAUGACUUUCAAAAGAUACUAGAGAGCUUUUGUUCUAGCAAAAAUAUACUGAAAAAGGAGACCAACAAAGAUAUUCAUCUGCUAUUGUUAAAACUAGAAGAGAUUGAGACCUUAUAUGUUGGUAAAAAAUUUUCAAAGCAAAAGCAAUAAUAUUUGCUUGCAGUUCUUGUCAAGUCUCUAUUGAAUAACUCCAAGUCUUCACUAAAUAGAACCUAGAGUUGAUACUAAAAAGGGAACUAAAUCUUCAGCAGUGAUACAAAUUAUCAAAAUUGUUGGUAUUGGUAUGAUGAUUUAAGUGGCCAAAGUAAUAUAUUGCAUGAAUAGUAAGGAGGUUAUUUAUUAUGAUUUGAAGCGCCAGAAUAUGUUGAACAAUUAUCUACCCAGAGAGAAGGGACUUCAGCUGAGUGCUUAAGGAUAGUUGUGUGGAAAGCUAGCAAACUUUGGACUUACAAAAACCAAGGCCAUGAGCUAGACUCUUGAAAUAUAUACAACUUACAUGGUUGCCAAAUUUUUAUUUUGUGCCAAAGAUCUUCUUUAACGAAGAAAUUAUUAGUAGGAAGUUCCUUAGGACAACAAGUGUUUAGAAUUUCAAUAUUAUAUUGAUCAAGGUUCUUUGUAGAAAAUUGCUCUUUUCUCAACUUUAGAAUGGACUGUUAAUGAAACAAUUACAUACUAAAAUAAAAAGUAGUAUAUACCUAUACUUUUGGAUAAUUAUAUGAUUUUUUUGAAGACCAUGAUUAAAAGUUGCUGCUAUAGUUGUCCUUAGAAACGGCCAAACAACCAAAUUUUUUGGAUUUAUGGAUGAUGUUAUGAAUUGCUCAAGUCUAGAGCUUAUAUAUCAUCAAGAAGGACCACAACCUUUUUACUUAUAUGCCAAAGGGUCCUCUGCUUGAACCAUAUCCUUGUUCUCUAAGAUGUUAUCCACCAACUAUUUUUGAUUCAGGGAAGAAUUUGAAUUUAAUUCUGUAGCUCAAACAAUGAUUUAAUUAUAUGAAGGGUGAUCUCUUUGAUAAGUGUACUAUUUGAGCAUCUUUUGUAUCCUUAUUGGCUAUAAAGUAAUAUAUAUUAUUUGCUCUUAUUAGAAAAAAUUGAAGAAUUUUAGAGGUUUUUUGAAUCAUUAGUUCAUUGUGUUGUUUUGAUUAUUCUCACAUCAAUUUUGACAACUUUUGCAAGCAUAGUUGAUUACUCAAAUCUUACCACUUUCUAACAUUAGAUGGAUUUUUUUCCAAGAUAAAUGAAGGUGUAUGGAAAUAUUUUAAUAUUAUUUAUUAUUAAUAUUUUCUACUUAUAGUUAGUUCAAAUAAUAUUUUAAUAUUUAAUUAAUACAAUCAAAUAAAAAUAAAUUAGUUAAAAAAUGAUUUUGUUAAUGUUCAAAUUAUUUUGUAGCUAAUCUGAUAUAAACAUAUUUAUUUAUAUAAACAUCUUAUUUGAACGAUGAAAUCUUAUUUAGAUUCAAGUAUUGAAUUCACUUUGACAUCCUAAAUUAUAGACUUUGUGAUUUAUGUGUAGCAUUGUCAUUCUAUUCCUUUCUCUAAAUACAAAUCUUUGACAAACAUCCUAACAUAAUAUAUCUUCCAAAUGCAACUAAUGACUUUAAUAUUUAUUUUUCUUCUUUGAACUAAUAAAGAAAUGUUUGUAAAUAUUGUUUGUCAAAUUAUCUAAUUUCUUAUUUUGUAUAUAAAACUUAAUUGGAAAUGUAAUACUUCUUAUAAUUUUUUAUUAAAUAUUAUCAAAUAAUAUUUGAUGUAAUGUUGGCUUUAAAUAUAUCAGCUAGCAUUAGUCAAUUAAUGCAAAUUCAUCUAUUCAAAUAAGAUUUCAUUGUUCAUAUUUCUACUCUUAAGCAAGAUUGCAUUGUCAAUCAAAAUUUUAAGCUUUUGUCAAACUCAAAAAUAGAAGUGAUUUUCUUUAAAAGAAAUAUUAGAUCAAUAGAUAUGUCUUAUGAAAAUACAUUAUGAAGGAGAAUAAGCCUAAUAUAUGGUGGCUCCAACAAUAGUUACUAAGCAUUUAAGAGGUAAAAUUUGAAUGUUAUUUCUUAAAAAUAGCAUCUUUAAGUCUAAAAUUUAAAAGAAUUUUCAGAAAUUACUAAUAAUAACUUUAUUUAAGUAGAUAUCUAUGAAGUUUUGAUUUAUUUAGAUAUAAUAUUUUAACUUAAUAAAUUUUUAUUUUAAAAAUAAUAAUUUUUAAUUUAAUAUUAUAUUUGAAAUAUAUAAUGUGACAUUCUUUGAUAUGUUAUAGUGAAGAUUGAUGCGAAUGACAAAUAAAGAAAUAUCUAAUUAUAUUCGUAGGACAUAUCUUGAGAUAUAUAAUAACUAAGCACUUAAUUGUGAUCCUUGACAAAAAGGUAAGAUUAGCUAAAGCCUCAAAUACUAGUAUAGAAGAUGUCCAAACCAAUGUGGCAAAGGCUCUUGUAGAUAAAAGUUGUCUGGUGGCAUGUUUCUUCUACUCUCUUCUAUGAAAAAGAUUGAUAUCAAGGAAAAAUCUUUUGAAGUAUGUAUUUAGAUUCUUAACUUAGAGUGACUUUAGAAUAGAAGAAGGUUCUACAAUAACAACUUAUUUAUGAUAUGUAAAUUUGAUUUUAAAUUAAUUUAGAGAAAUGGAUGAAUAUCCUAAAGACUCAAGUAUAGCACACAAAAUUUUAAAGGGAUUGCCUAAGGAAUUUGAUAUAUUCACAAAAAUUGUAAGAAAUAAGAAAAUCAUAUUAAAUUUUAACAUAUUUAUUAAAUUUUUAUAAAUUAAAGGAAUGAUAUUCAAAAAACUCAACUCUAGUCAAGAUGUAGAAGAAAUAUUAAUAGUUAAAUUCAAAGAUGUAUUACAUUAAAAUGAAAGAUAUGAAAGCUACAUUAAAGAAAUACCAAUAUAAUAUAGCAAUUCAAGUUAUAAUAAAUAUGGAUCAAGCUUUGAUAGUAGAAUAAACUUGAAAAGGCAAAGAACAAAUCUUUGAAGAGAAAUAAAGCCUCAUGAUCAUUUAUUAAACUGCGAUAGAUGCAAUCUACAAAGCCAUUGUACUUGAUUAUAUACUAUUCUUAUAAUAAUAGUUGAAAUUUAUAUAUUAAUAUCUAUAAUAUAUAAAAUAAUAAAAAAUAAUCAAAUAAUGUUGAAGAUCAGCAAAUACUUACUUAGAGAUUAAACAUAAUAUGUUGCUAAUAGUCAAAAGGUAGCAAAGAAUUAUAGGAAGUUAUUAUAGUAGUACCUAAGAUUUAGUUGGAUGAAGUAGAAAUGGAUGUAAUAUCAAAAGGAUGAAAGUUGCCUUGUUGAUUAGCAAACCACUACCUAAAAGUAAAGGGUGUUGGAAGUAAGAGUCAUCUUUUUCCACACUUCUCUUAGAGUAUAAUCCUUCCUGAUGCUAAGUAUUUGUAGCUUUUAGAAUUUUUAUCUUCAAUAGGUUAUGGAUCCACUCAUAUUUACUUGAAUGUUUUGAAAUUCUUUGAAGUGGCUAUUGAUGUGUGGAUUAGAUCAAAUUGUUGUUACUGAUGUUAGGAUUUAGAAGUACCUAACUUUCAGAUUCAGAUCUAGAUCUAGAUCUUGGUUUGCUCUUACUUGUAGUUAAGAGUAUUUUGGUGUUGGUGUUUGGUUUUUCAUUUUAAGACAAAGUUAUAGAAGACUUGCAUUGUGCUAUUGUUGAAAUAGAUCCUUAGUGCUCUAACUUUGUAGUUUCAUGUCUAAAGUUGUUGAUUGUACUUAAAAGGCCUCUCACGGUGUAUAGAGGUGAUUUUUGAGUAUAAGAGUGAUAUUUGAGUAGAAAAUCAGAUUUGAGACACUUAGAUAGGUCAUCAGACUUGUGAAAAAUCUUAGAAGUGAAAUUGAGAGUGUUUUUGAGAGUAAGAACACUAGUUUGUUCACAAAGAAGGAUUCUCUGAUUCUAAGGCAGUAAAACUUUCUUGUUGAUUUUGAGAGCAUUAGGACUUCUUCUUACAAUCUUAUUUUAAUACAACUCUUUCUUAGAUAUGGCUUCAAGUAAAGGUGAAGGAUUGAGAAUUAUUGAAAAGUUUAGAAGUAAAAAUUUCUACUAUUGGAAGGUAAAAAUAGAACUUUUGUUAGCAUCUUUGGAUCUUUUGGAUAUUGUAGAUGAAAGUGAAGAGGCUCCAAGCAUAGAUGCUGAUAUGAAUGAGAAGAAGGAGUUCA